UCCGACCACCUCCGCCUUCUUAUUCAACGAUUCCUCCACCGCAGACGUCAUCCUCCGUCUCUUCACCGACACCAUCACCCCGCCGGAAUCUCCCUCCUCCAUCUCCGUCGACUCCGCGCCAAUCUCUGAUCUCCAUGUCUACCUCCACUCCGACAUCCUCCGCCGCGCGAAGUACUUCUCCGCUCUGUUAUCCGACCGAUGGAUCAACAACGUACAUCCUCAACCUUCACCGGAGCAAAUCACCGAUCACGAACUCUUUCGUCUCAAUCUCGGUGUUCCACCUUCUCCAGGCUCAAUCCAGAAUCAUCUUACCGUCCUUGAGCUUCUCUACACAAACGAUUUCACAAAUGCGGUGGAAAACGUUUCCACCGCGCUUGAUUUGCUUCCGGUGGCGCUUGAAUUGCUUUUCGAAGACUGCGUUCGGUGGUGUGUGCGUUACCUCGAAGCGGUGCCGUGGACGGAGGAAGAAGAAAACCGAGUCGUUAACCUAAUUCCAUUUCUAAGCGAAGAAGAAUCAAAGGAACUCAUUGCUAGGGUUUCACCUGUAGGAGAAAAUGCUUGUGAAGAAAUGCUGGAAGGUUUAAUUUCAUCGGCGAUGAACAAUUACGGUAACACCGCAUUCGUGAAAGCGUUUGUAGGGAAGAUAUUAAGGGAUGUAUCUUCGAGGGAAACGGUGAAGAGGGUUUUGGAGAAAGCGUUUAGGGGGAGUUUGAAAACGGUGAAGCAAUCAUUGGAGGAUUAUUCGAGUCCGGUUUUUAGAGGGGAUCAUAAUGAAAAUGAAACGGAAGCAAUGCAGAGGGUGAAUUUGCAUAAGGCUUCUACUAUUGGGAAGCAUUUGUUAUGGCUUGUGGAGAGGAUGGUUGAGCUUAGGGUUGCAGAUGCAGCCGUGCGGGAAUGGAGUGAGCAAGAAGCUUUUACGGGUGAUUUGAAGAAGGCGUUUGGGGAAGAUGCAUGGAGGAAUAUCGUUCCCGGUCUUCCUGCUGUUAUUCUUAGGUGUACUUCUAAGCUUGCUCAUGCUGUUUGUGCUGGCACCGUUGUAGCUUCUACUCAGGUAACAUCUACCUGUUAACCUUUCCUUUUUUCGAUAGUAUGCUAUUGUAGUAUAUAUGAAGCACGGACAUUUAGACAUUUUAUGAAAAUGGUAGUGAUUGAAUGUAAUUACAUGGGUGGAUGUCGAGUUGUUCUGUCAAAUACCAGACACGUGUUCAAUUUGAAGUGUCGGUGUUACUAAAUUACUAUCUAGUGUGUGUCUUUGCAUGGAGAAUGUAGAUUUGGAAUGCUAUUUUAAGAAAGAAUUUGAUAAGUUUCUCAUUUAAGUUAGUUAUAUUUAAGUAGCAAUAAACUUAUAAGGGAUUUUGUGUAGGCCAAGAACUUGAUAGAUAUUUCAGUUGACAAGCUCUUGUAUGUUGUAUGUUAAACUAAUGCAACUAGGUCUUAAAAGCUGCAAUAGGGGUUUAGUUCAGCACCUCUAACUUCCUAAUUGCAAUGUGGUCUAAGUUUAUUAGUUUGAAUUGUUGAGAAUUAGUUAAUUUUUCCCUUUUUGGUCUUUUUUGUUUGAAACUUCAAAAGUUACAUACUUACAUUGAUCUGAUUAAUGCAAUUGAAUAAUCGGUGGCGGCGCUUGACAUCAUUUUUUGAGGGGGCCAAAAAUAUACAUAUAAUUUAUUUAUUUAUACAUAUAUUGAAGUAAUUAAUGUUGGCGCAAUGUGUUGGUCUCUUUAUUUUAAUGAGAGGUACUGGGUUCGAGUCCGAUAUAUUCCAUUUUGAGCCUUUAUUUUGUUAUCUUGAUCAAGAAAGAUUAACGGAGAUACAAAAAAUACAUACCCAAGUUUCGAAACCGCGCGCUUAAUAGUGAAGCAACUACUCUUAUCCACUGCACCAAGGUGCACAAUGUGAUAUGCUUAUCGCAUAGCAGUAUAUAUAUCAAAAGUUUGGAGAUGUCCCCUUAAAAUAAUUUUUUUUGGAGAUGACAUGGCCCCCUUUAGUCCUUGAGAAGCUCGCUGCUGAUUGGAUGCGUGUUUAGAAAAAUGAUUAUGAUUGAUUUUUGCAAAAAUUGUUUCGAGCCUUUGGACCAAGAUUAUGUGAUUUGUGUGUAAAUGUUUUUCUUAAUAACGAUGGUUGUACAAAACUUAAUACAAAACUAACAACUUGCUCAAGAUUUAUUCUACCAAUGCAAUUUUGGUUUAUAGUAAGUUUGUUUUUUUGUAAUCAAGUUUACUGCCACCAAACUCACAUUUGAAGUCUUUCAUCAUUUGUUCCCAAUAUGCUAGUCAAGCUGAGAAAACUAUUGAUGUUUCACAAUAUUCAAAUAUGAUUAUGUGAAACCUUGUUUUACAAAUUGUCUUCGACUUAAACAAUUUAAUCUUUUUUUUUUUAAUGGGGAAUGCUUGUUAUGACGUAAGGCAUCGCAAAAGUAUAUGAAAGUUUUGUGGUUGGUUAUUUUUUCACCCAUAAUCCCAUGUUUCCAUCGAUACGGAUUGGCUAUUUGACCAACCUUUAAUAAAAAGACAAGACAGCGUCAGUGUUUUCCGUUUUAUAUUUGCUUCUUAAUAAUUAGCAUCACUAUUUUUCUUAUGAUCUUUUGCUGACUAUAUUAAUUAAACGAAUACCAAAUUAAUGCAAAAUAGAAUGAAUAUUGACUGUUUUCCUAGGUGCCUUCCAAAAAUACCAAAGCGCCUAUAGCCUGGUUGUUUUAACUUUUGAGAGAUCUCGGACGAGAUCUAUUUAAGCAGUAUUACUUCAUUUGAUACGAAGUGUAUCAGGAGUUUUUUUCGUUUACCUUUGCUGUAACCCAAAGCUGUCGAAUUUGUACCUUGCCUAAUUUUGACGUUUCCUUUCAUUAGAUAUUUGAUAUUGAUUUUUUAUCAUGUUAAUUGCAUGGCAUUCGACAGUGUCUAGUUAAAUUUUCUAAGAUGACUUUCUAAUUUGACACAAUUUUAUCCAGCCAUAUAUUUUAUUUUAUUUGUUUCAUUUUAACGAGAGCAUAUUCAUCAGCACCAUAGUACGAAGUAUUUAUGCUUUAGACAAUGUUUAAGUGCUUAGACAAACCUUUCUCUACUCAAUUCAGGUGAGAAGGAAACUCGUGGAAGACUGGCUUCCUGUUUUGGUUGUUUGCAAAGAUUUUUCACCCGUUAGCAACAAAUCGUUAUAUCUAGAGCUGGAAGAAACAUUUCUGCGAAUUAUCUCCACUCUGCCCAUGUCAGAUGCUCAAGAAUUGCUGCAAAAGUGCCUCAGUUUUUCGACCCGAAAUGUUGAAGAUUGUCCUCAUUUGGUGACAGCGUUCAACACCUGGUUCCGGCGUGCAGCUCAUCCCUUCAAACUAGAUUCUGUCUGUGAUCAAUCAGAUGUCUGAUCUCCUGACCUUUGUUGGCUGGCUUGUCAAAUACUGUGCAGAUUGUAUAUACUAUGUUCAGAAAGUUGAAGCUUAACAUUGUACAGAUGACUGUAACCAAGAUAGUUAGACCUUAUCCUGUGGUCAGUGGUUGUCGCCUUGUUGGUGUGGCUACCAAGUUCCUUGGAAUGCAAUAUUUUAGUUGCAUGUAUUUCUCAGAUGUUGAAAUGGUGCUUAGCAAGUUUUAGGUCAAAAUGAAAAUACAAGCUUUGGUUCUCUUAAGGAUAAAUCCAUUUCUCGACUUAAACUUUUGACAUUUUAUGAAUAGUUCAUUCCACCGAAAGGUUUCAAAUUUAUCAAGUUCACAAUGUGAAAUGAAGAGCCUUUUGUUUUUAUGAAUGAAGUUUAUAGAUUUUAAUAAUUUGUUGAUGAAUUAAACCUAGUAGUUAAGUUUAAAACCUUGUCAACCAUUAGCACUUUCUGUUGUUUCUAACAUACACCUCCACUUUCGGAAGUUAGCUUCUAAUCAUUUUGCCUUACAAUAGUUAACUUUUAGACAAUUUUAUAUCGUCUUAAAAUACAUUCUUUAAAAGAUGAGAUUGUUGCAAAAAACUAUAAAGUUAACUAUAAAGUUUGUUACAAAAAACGGGUGUAAGGUGGGACGUUCGUAUCUGCAUAUAGCCAAUCAACAUGCUUAUUUUAUGAAGAUUGGUCACUCUACUUAAAUCCAGCUCAAGCGUGGAAAAAAUAUCUUACCAUUAUCGAAUAACGAAAAUGAAAGGCAAAUGUUACCUGAAAUAGUUAGUUUUUUUUUUUUUUUUUUUAAUAAUAAAGGAUCAUAUAUUUAAUAAUAAAUUUAUUAAUUUUUUUUUGGUCAAAUAGACUAGUGGCUAGAACUCACAAUUAAAAAGUAGGGUGUCCGGGGUUCGAACCCCGGCCCUUGCAUAUAACAUGCAAUAUCCCUAUUAACUGAGUUAAACUCACGGGGAUUUUAUUAAUUUUAAAAAAAUUAAAUAAUAGUCGGAGAGAUCGGUAGUAGCGGUGUUUGGAUGAUUGUGUCAAAUUUAAUCUUGUUAGCUAAACUGAAAUUCAAAUCUAACUUAUUUAUAUUUAAAUAUACUACUAUAAAAAUUAUCACAAAUUGUAGUUUGUGACCAAAUUGAAGUUUAAGAGAAAAAAAACAAAUUUUAAAACUUCUGAUCAUGCAUCCAUCUUAACUUUUACUCCAAAAAAAAAAAAAAAAUCAUCUAAACUUGUCAAGAAGAAAAUGCAAAAACCAAUUUAUUUUCUUUCCAUCUUUUUUAAGAUUGUAGUUGUGGAUACAUGCCACCCCCCACCACAAAUGUGAAAAAGAACCCUGCUUUUUUGGACAACCCUUUCUUCUUUUAACCAUAUAUCCCAAACACACACAUGGAUGAUAAUAUCUCCUUUUCCUUUUUCUUCUUAAGGUGUAAAGGUAUGAGUGCAAGUUUAAGAAAUUAAAAGAUGAUGUAAUAAAUGAUACAUUUGUCCGAGAAAAGCCAUAGCAACUGAGAAAAUUAUUAUGGAACUCCUUACUUUAUAAAUGUGGAUAAUUUAUGAUCACAAGGAAGAUCAAAAUUAAACAAAUUUUCUAGUUUCUACCAUACAAGGGAUGUGUGUGUGUGUGUGUGUGUGUGUGUGUAGGUACUAAAGUAAAAAUAUGAUGUAAAUGAAACAUCUUUUUGUUUGAGAAAAGCCAAAGAAACUGAGAAAAUCAUGGAGACUAAUGGUAACUUCCGAUUACUGCAAAAAUCAAGACUAAACCACAUUGAAUCAUGUUAUUACCACCUCAAUAAGUAGGGGAAUAUAAUCAAAAACUUCUUCAUGCUUCACUCAACAUCAUAACUAGUAGAUAGUGUCACAAAAAAUAAACUAUAUUACAUACAGUAAACAAGCCAAAACUAUAUAAUAUAUAUCCUUUGCACUCGAUGAACAAGACAUUAACAUGUUGUCUUUAGGCCAAGAUAAAGAUGGCCAAACUAAGGUUAGCUGUUUUUGGAUCAAGAGGGAGAUAAUAGACAAAAGAAGAGAGCUUGAGUAACUUAGAAUAGCCGUCUUCUGAAUUGGCCGGUGGCACCUUGGUAUGAUUUAACGAGUAUGCCGACUCCAAUGCCGAUUCCAAGACAAACGCUAAGUCCAAUACCAACACCAACCCUAACACCGGCAUUAAACCAUGAAAGUUCUCCAUCUUCGCCGUCAGCGUAUGCUGUUCUUGUGUAUAGGCCGUGAUAAUCCUCAUCAUCAUGUUUGUCAUACAUGUAAUCUGGAGCCUGCAGAAUUUGCAUAUAAAUAUUAAGAAGGGAUUAUCUUUAACAGAAAUGAUAACGUGACACAAAAUAUGUGACACAAUACGACACCAUACAUGCAUUAUACGGUUGCUUAAUACUUUCUUUCUUUUUUUAUUUUUUUUUCCUUCUCUCUCCCUUGCCUGUAACCCCCAUCUCCAUCAACUACAAAUACAGAACCCUGUUUUUUUUGUCUUUCUUUCUUUCGUGUUAGAGAAGAUGAGGAGGAUGGUGGUUAUGAUGGAGGGUGCGGUGAGGACGACGGUGGUUGUGACUGACAAGGACGGCGGCGGUGGCGGUUAGAACGAAGGGUGUGGUGGUGAAAAUACACGGCGACAGCACUUGCAGGGACAGAAGGAGAGGUUGUCGAGGAAGAGAAGGAGAAAGGCAGAGAAAAGGGAAAGAAGGGGGUAGAAUUAUCAAAUUACCCUUCUAGUUCACACCAAAAUUACUGUUUUACCCAUGGUGUUGUAUUUGUGUCUAAAAUUGUGUGUCUACUUGUCAUUUCUGUUAUCUAUAAUUUGUUGCGAAAAGGGAUUCUUCUUAAAAAUUCCAACUGGUUUGGUUAAAAAUAUAAUUUUUUCAAAUAUUGUCAAGGAAACUAAUUUCAUCACUCAUUGGGGGAGUGUGACGUUAAAUUUGCAGCAUGUGUGUGCUUGAGAGGGGGGCAGCUAUUUCUCAAACACAAUACAGAAUUGAGCAAAAAAAUUCUAGUUUGCAGAAAAAGAGCAAAGGUAGUUUGCAGUUAUAUUAUAGUUUUAUUACGUUCCAUCUCCUACUAGGUUGUGACAUCGGUUAGAUACCAAUGCUUAUAUUUGUUAAACCAUCUCAUGUUUCAAAUGACUCAAUAAAAUUGCAGAGCCAAUUAAAACAAAGCUAGACCUGUGUUGUCAAUCGCACAUCGCAGAAAAUAAUAGUUUGAUCAAAUUCCACUAAACUACAAUGCCGCAGCGUCACUGUUUAAGAACACUUUGUAUUGAAUAGUGUUCAAAUCCCCCAACGGCAUAGUGCUAUAGUGCCUCAAUUUGACAGCACCGAGUCAGACAUGGAAAUUCAAGCAUAAAGUUAACUAGGAUGGUACACUGCCAUAGUUAAAGAGGAUAAUUUAAAUAAGCACAUGAAAAAACAUUAUUCGACGAACACAAAUUACCUGCAAAGCAAGCACAGAAGAAGGACCUUUCCCAUUUUCAUUUGCAUCAUUCUCUGGAAUUGCAUUCAAUGCCGGCUUCCUUGUAUGUCUUUUUUGAGAACUAAGAUGCAAAGUCUUUGUUAAGAUAAUCGGAGUACCAGAGAACGACCCGGCAAUGUAGACCUCAAUUGUUGGAAGAGUAGAGUCCGGCAACAACAAUUGCUUCUCCUUAAAGAACUUUGUGCCUGGAAUUAUAUUCGACUCACACUUCAUGCUCCAACUUUGUCCAUUAGAAUUUGAUUCUCUAACAACACCAUUGCUGUUACAUAAUUCUAAAGUACCAAAAAGAAGAAGCUUGUCUUUAUCAAACACCUCAAACUUCACACUACCACUCAUCCUUAUACUAUCGGUGCUUACAAAUGUAACUUCUUCCGAUUUUCUAUCCACCCUAUCCCUUUUGAGAAGGGUUGAAAUCCCAUCAGAGUAUAAACCACUACGAACGCCGUUAACUUCAAGAAGGGUAUCGGGAUUUAAAGGAACAUGGUUAAGUGUGAGAAUCUCAGGAGUGGAAUUAUCAAGCUCACACUUGCAAACCCUUACAUAAAACACCCUUAUGUCUAACCACGGUAACGAACCCUUUAUCGAGGGUUGAUAAGAGUGUGUGUGCUUAGCAAUAGAGUAUCCAUUUUCACUUGGUCCAUUUCCAUUAACCUUAUACGAAUUCUCCAUCGCGAGACAGUUCUACUUUCUUUCUCAUUCAAAUUCAUUCAUUUCAAUUGUACCAUUGACUUGUACCAACACUAAUCCACUGCAACAACAAAGUUAACUAAUUCAGCUCAAUUUACAGAAGAAAAUCAAAAAGGUUGAAGGAGAUUAAAUUAAAUCUAACAAAAGAAAAUAAUUUCACCAACAUAAGAGCACAAAUAGAUCUAUGAAUGAAAAAAAGUAAAAGAAUAACAGAUAAAUAAGUAAAAAUUAAGAAACUAAGUAAAGCUCACAGAUACAAUAAAACAAGAUAAGUUCUACUUUCUGAGGAGAAAGAAACUAACCUUACUCAAUCAAAUUAAAAAAAAAAAAAAAAAAUACAAACAAGAAAUAGGAUUGAAUCUUCAAUAAUCCAAAAUGAAAUUCAAGAUGAAUUUGCAAAUGUAAGAAUUAAAGAAAAAAAAUGGAUAAUAAAGUUAUGAGUAGAAAAUGAAACAAUUACCAGAGCUGAAAAAGAGACAAAAAGAGGAUAAGAUGAAUCUAGAAACUCUUCCAACAUAACAUCAACUAUUCGGUGGCUAAAUCUGAUAAAUACAAUUAAUUUUCAUUGAAGAGAAAUUCACAUCAAAGAAAAAAAUUGAAAUUCACAAAGAAAAUGAAUCUGCUUUCUAAUCUAUAGAUUUAGACAAAAAAACUAGCCGGCGAAACGCGACACAUGCAAACAACGUGAUUAACAACACGACAAAAACCGUCACUAACAUUAACAAAUGCAAAAUUCAACUCAACAACAUGAAAUGAAAAUACAUUAUUUAUAAGCACUCACCACAAAAUAUCUUGUGCCAAAAUUGAAUUUUGUUAAUUGUUAUGUGGAAAUAACAAUGAAAGUAAACAAAAUAAAGCUUUUUGAGUCAGAACCAGAAUCUAUUAAAGCUUAGAGAACAAAUCUUGAAAUCUUGGGAUGAAUCAAAACAAAGGUUGUUAUCGGUUAUGUUGAGGUGGUAAGAGAAGAUGUGGAUAUUGUUUAAUUUUAAUGGAAGAUGUGGGUCCCUUUGAAUCUGAUAUUAUUCUUAAGAUCUUAUCCACGAGAAAGAAAAAGAGAGGAAAGUUUUGUGUGUGAAUUAAUUACAGGAAGAAAAGGAGGAGAGUGUGAAAUUGUUGGUUGAAUUGAAAACUGAAAUGUUUUCUGUUUGCUGUAUAAGGGGAUCGAUUACUUGCAAGGAUGGAAUUCAUAAGCCCCAAAAGAUGUGCAUCAUAUAUGUGUGACUUUUUUUAAAAUUUUAUUUUAUUAAGUAACUAAUUGAUUAUUAAUGAUGACACACUCUGUCCUAUCUGUUCCAUGAAAUAAAAUUGUACGAAUGUCGUAAGUUUCUAAUUUAUAAUAGUUUUAAUCAAAAUAUCUUAAAUCUCUAAAAACAUUAAAAUAUUUUUAAAAGAUGUUUAAAUAUAUUUGUCAAAGUCAAAAUAUAGAUAGAUUUAGUUUCUCAUGAGCAUAACUAACUUGGUAAAAACAUCAUAUCAUAUGUCCAAAAUUUCACAUUUAGUAGGUUAUAUAUAAAUUUCGCAUUUAGUGUCUCGUUUAUGUUACUUACAAUUUUAAUCAUAAUAAAAUAUGAGAAUUUGGAGACUAACACCAGGCAUAGCAGAUGAAAAAACCAACACAAGGGUACUUGUCAUGUAGUACAAUUGAUGCAGCUAUCUAUGGACCUCAAGGAAAAUAUGGAGCAAGCUUAUGCAUUAGAGUUGAAGAAGAAGGGUCAUUGGCUGCAAAGACUUGUUGUGCAGCAGGUAUUCCUUUAGCAAAGGAAGCUAGAGUAAUACUUAGAGGACAAUAUGGGACUGGAGUUUGAAUCCAUGAUUUUAAAAUGUAGAGACUAUAUUAAUGUAAAACCCAGCUGGAGGGUUAAUUUUAUAAAGAGAGACGCGAGUGAAUUAGUGUGGAUCAUUUCCAUUUCAAUCAAAAAGAUAAUUCUAGCACAGCUCAUAACCAAAUAUGCCAAAUAGAUAUCUUUAUUUUUCCCAAAGGUUCCUCGUAGUAACUUAUGACAUCCGGGGUUAAACAAGGUUAGGCAUUGUUUUCAAGCAUAUAAAUAUCUAGAAUUCAUAAGACUAAGAUGAAAAGUGAAUCAUAAAUUUGAGAAUAAUGAUUUUUCUUAUUUCACAAUGUUGAGAAAAUUGAUGGGAGGUUUACAUUACUAAGAGCAACAAUAGUUUUUAGACGAGUUUGUGAUACCGAAUGAUAGCAAUCCAAAUAAUGUAAUGUGGCAGCCAUAACGGAAAUAGGCCAAUUUAAACAUGUUAACCAACAUUAACUCUAAUGCAACCCAGCAAGGAUUGAAAUUAUUGAAUUCUUUAGUCUUUGUCACCGGGGAACUGCAAAGUCUAGUACACACCAACGAAAAAUAUGGAUUACAAUCAGCAAGAGGAAGUAAAAUCGGGAGGAAUUAAGUAUAAGAACUCAAAUUAAUCUUUCCAUCAAUUAUAAACACCAAAAAGGAACUUAAGAUUUAUUAGAACUUAAGUAAAUCUAUAUGACAACAGAAUUGACUUGUUAGAACUUAGACUUCAGCACUGAAAAUUUGAGGGUGAUUAUCAAGCAAGUUGGUCAUAUACUUUCAAGAAAAUAAGGAAAUGAAUCAUACAAGUUUACAGUUGGCGCACAAUACAGUGACCAAAAUUUCAACUGUGAAGUUAUUUUUCCUCCUAAGGUGAGACAGAAAAAAAAAAAAAAAAACAGUUUUUUCAUUUUUUUUUUUUCUCUUUUUCAUUCCUCAUUCAUCUUGAAUGGAUCCAGCAAGCCUGUCACAAUGUUUUUUCAAGUCCUAUACAACAAAGUAAAAGAAGAUAUCAGGAUGAGCAUAAAGAAGAAAAAGGUAAUUACUAAUUACCAUAUCAGUUGCCCACCUGAAAGUGAUAUUACUACAAUAGAGAAAUUCGGUACCUUAGUAUUUUUAGUCUUGACACCAGUAAAUAAAAUAACCUAGACUAUUGAAUCCCUACAAUUAUAAUGAUUAACGCCGACAAAUAAUUGGAAUGUAGAAUAUUCAGAACGACAAGACUCCGUAUUCCAGUGUGUACCAUAUUAUGAGUUAAGGUUGAUAUACAAUUUGAUUCUCUGAGUGACAACUUCUGUUGCAUUUGGUGUUUGAAAAAGUGCGUUUAUACAUGUUGGUCCUUAAGGUGACAAAUAAUGCAUUCAUCAAGUUGUUCUUAGUGCAAGAUAACCGAAAUGAUAUUGUUAAAGUGACGAAUAAUCUCCAUUCAUCAAGCUGUUCUUAGUGCAAGAUAACCAAAAUGCUAAUGUGGAAUAUUAACUACACGUGUAACACUAUUUGUCUACUAGAUUGCUUACAUCCAAUCCCAAAACAACAUUGCUGAAAAAGAUUGAAAUUUUCUCAUUUUGUCUCCCAUAUAAACUUCUAGGAUUUGGGUAAACUCCCAAAUCUCUCCAAACAAAGGAUAAUACCAUUGAGGGAUUCAUGAAGGCAAUCUAGUUGGCUCUGGGUACAUAGCAAUCCACAUCCAUUUUUAUUGAGUUGUCACUUUUGGACACCAAUUAGUACAGACGCACACUUUGAAGCACCAAAGCAAUAGAAACUAUCACGUUCAAGAAUCAAAUUUGAAUUACUAAAAUUUUCAUAACAAAUAUGGCAAUCUCAAAGUUUUAUAGGAACUAAACACCCUGUAAGAAUGCCAAUGAAGCAACAUUCCCCGCGACCAGAAAUUAGUUCCUAGAUGGAAUAAAUUUUGUGGUAGAAAGACUAACCUAAAUUAUCAGCACUAACCUAAAUAAUGGAUUUUGAAAAUUCAAGAAAAAAUGGAACAGACAAUGUUCACAUAUGCUAAAGAAGAGAGCGUUUCACCAACUGAGGUGAGUUAUCUUAAUUCUAAAGAAAUAAGGUGUGUGCUCUUGAUUAAUUUAAUGACUCUUAAUAAUUGUUCAUGGUGGUCCACCUGUGAGGGACUUAAUUGAACCCUCACCCUAGAACCCACCUAGAUAUACAUAAAAAAAUUAAAACAUACACAUAAAAGUGGAGACGGAAAAAUGGACAAACAGAGUGUUUCACCAAAUGCUAAAGUUUCACCUCGCUAUCUUAAUUCUACACCAUCCCUUAACUCAUCAUAUCUAUCUAAUGAAGCUCAUACUCGUCUGAUGCAUAUUUCCCCGAAUCAAAAGACUACCCCUCUCAUCUCUAAUAUGUAAUCAAUAACAUCUAAAACAGCUUAUGAAGUUAUGACCGAUCAAUCACAAAAUAAAGUGCACCAUAUAGAAAAAGUUUUCAAGGGACUUCGACUUAAUCAUCGUCAAUAAUAAUUGUAAAACCUAGACAACCAAUUACUGAAACAGACAUGACAAUACAUAAUCUUUAAAUUAUGUAAACUAAUAAUUCAAGCCCAUAAACCUCAUGCAUAAUACACAUGUUUACUUUUAAUAAUCAAACAGAAUAAUAACUAUAAUCAUCACGUAAAUGCAAGAAAAAUUAACAAUGAAUAAAAAAGAACCUAAUAAGAAUCAGUACCUUGUGAAAGCAUGCUCCAGCAAGUUGAAUUGGAAGCAAUAUUAGAAGUGAGUCUAGCAUCAGCAAUGGCGGUAUGAAGAGGCAUCAAUGAUUCAACACUUCCAACAACCGAUAAAAUCCUUUAAAAACUAACACGUUGUUAACACUACAAAAAUUCAUUUCCAAAAUCACAGCUGAAAAAUGCGUUGUUCUACCUACCUUGAAACACGAGGAGCUUGAGAAGAAAACAGAAGCGGAAUGGAAGGUUUUUGAGCGAAGGUUCUAGAACGAUUCGCGAAGGAAGUGGAAGCCACUCUCGCCGCUGAUUUACAGAACGAAGAAGCCAUUGCUGAAGAAGGUUACUGAUUCCGCUAGUGCCUGGCUUGAACCCUAAACUCAACUGUUAUUGGGCUUGCUCAAUUUAUCACACACUUUUUUUAAGAUUGCUUUUUAGGCCUCCCAAUAUCUGUUUAGGCCCCCUAAUAAUACAAAAUUAACUUUUAUACUUUCCACAUUUUACAGCUCCGGAAAUGUAUCUACCGGAUGCACAAUUUCGAAUUUGCACUUUUAACACGUACGGUAGUUAGAGUCCGGAUGCACAUUUCACAUUUUCUUUUUUAACAUUAUUACAUACUUGUUUUUUUUUUUUUGCUGACAUUGCUAGAUUACUACAUAAUUGUGUUAGUAAAGUAUCAUCACCAACAAUCGUUCUAUCUAUCAGCAUUCCAACUCAAAGUUCUCCAGAAUAACUAUCAAAAAAGAAAUAUGGGUAUUAUUGAGUACAAAUACUUUUUUAUAUGUAUUCGUAGCUAUCAAAUACUACUAGAUAGCUGAAGUGUCUUUUUAUCACAUAUUAAUAUUCCCCAUUAUUUUUCAAAGUUAUAACCAUAGUUAAAUUAUUACUCUACUAUUUAACUCUAGAAUUAAAUUGCGAGGUACGUGACCAACUAUGGGGUAUGUAAAAAGCAAUCACAAUACUAUGGGCUGGCCAAAACCAAAUAUAAGCAUUUUAUUCACCACCGUGUCACUGUUUGUUGUGGGUAUUGUGGUUUUAGUUAGAGUAUCCGGUUGCGAAGAAAAACGUUCAGACGCAGUACUUUCCACUUAUCUUCACCUUUCAGUUCGCCGUCGCCGUUCUAUUGUGCGGCGGUUCUUAGGUUUGAGAAUGGCAGAAGAAGCAGUUCUUGGUUACCUGCAAAACAACGAUGAGAUUAAUGAUUCAGGUGAAUUUGCAGCUGAACGUGGCAUUGACCACAACGAAAUCGUCAAUGUCGUCAAGAGUCUUCACGGUUUCAGAUACGUCGAUGCUGUGGUAAGUAACUUUUUUCAUAUAUCCAAAAUUAAAUUGGUUAUAUGCAUGUAAUAAAAUGUAAAUCGUUUGUGACAAAUUUGGUUUGUUAUGAUGUGGAUAUAGGAUAUUAAGAGGGAGACAUGGGUGUUAACUGAUGAAGGAAACACUUAUGCUACUUUGGGAUCCCCCGAAUUUCAACUAAUUUUGGCUAUUCCGCCCGAAGGUAUCUCCAGAGAUGAACUUCAGGUAGCUUUUCUGUUUUUUUUAUAUCAUUUUCUAAUUUACGCCCCUUUUCUGCAACUGAAGCUUCAGAUUAAAUGUAUGUGUUUGGAUGAAUAGCGGCUAAAGCGGCACUAUAACUCUAUUGCAUAACAUAAAUUGAACAAAAUGCUAUUAGCAAUACUCUAUUUAGUAGUACAAAAUAUUGUGAACUAGCGGUGAUAGUGGAAAGAAACGAAUAUCUUUUGUGAUUCGCAAUUGACAGCACUUACAAUUAGUCACUUUAAUUUUCUCCAAGUUAAUAAUGGUGUAUAUGUGUUAGAGUCAGUACACCUAUAGUAGAAAAGAUGGUAGAAAAUAGACUUAGGUGGUUUGGGCACUUAGAGAGAAGACAUGUGGGUAUUGUAGUAAGGAGAGUAGAUCGGAUGGAGGGGAGUCAAAUCACUAGAGGUAGGGGAAGACCUAGAAAAACUAUAAGAGAAACUGUUAUGAAGGAUCUAGAGAUUAAUGAGUUGGUGGAACCCACUUGGGUUUGCCUGGUGGCAUUGUCUUGGGGACCUUGGAGCUCCUCCACACCACAAGAUCUCAUGUUCGAUUCUCCCCAGUGCCAAUUUAGGUGGGCUAGUUUAGCUUCUUCAAAACAAAACAAAAAUUGGUGAAAGACAUGGUUUUUGAAAGAACACUAUGUUGUCGUUUGAUUCAUGUAAUCAGCCCCACUUAGUGGGAUAAGGCUUGGUUGUUGUUGUGUUGUGUUAGAGUUAGUAUUGUAUCUGGUGUACGUGCUUGUGUGCUUCAUAGGUGAAAUUGAAUCUAAUUGUUUUUUAUUGUUGCAGAAAAAGCUGGGUCCUUCAGUCUUCAAGAUAGCUUGUGCACAGGCUGCUAAGAAUAAAUGGGUGGAGAUGGGAAAACAACUCAUAUCUAGGAAGGUAUGUUAAUGAUUCUAAAUCGACUGCUUUUGGGAUUUUAUUUGAUGCACAUUUGCAUGUAAUGCAACAAUAUAAUUGUCCUGUAUCUUUGUAUUGUCAAAAUAAAAAUUAAAGUUGUGUCUUGAUGUUCAGUUUAGUUUGUUCUUUGAGAUGAGAAUUACUUCAUGGUUAUGAGAUACUUGUCGUAAACCAAUUUCUGGUUGCAGGUCCAAGAUGUGGAAGAUAGAGUCAAAAAUCUGCUUCUUCAAAUACAACAGGGGCAGGUUUGUACUGCUAGCUUGAAUACUUUUGUUAGUGAAUUUCAUAAUUGUGUUGAAACUUGAGAGGGUAACGGGAGAAAGAGCUGGAAGUUCUUUUUUCUUUCCUUGGGAAGGGGGUUGUCAAUGCUAAUGUUCUAUUAAAAUUGAGGGGGUUACAUGCUGAGAUAUAGUCAACUUUGUCAAUUUCUAAAUCAGAUAAUAAUAGAUAGUGGCAAUGUGAAAUAUUAUGUAUUUGAAGAGGAGGCUUGAUGGUUUCUAUUCGUGCUUGUUUGGAAUCUGAUAUUAAUCUGUCAUUUCAUCCCUAUAUACAGUAGGAAAUUGCUAGGUCACUUCCAUUCUUAUACUUCAUAAUUGUUUGAUACACACACCCGUUUGGUAACAUGUACUUGUUGAUUGUGGCUGACGGCAGUGCAGUCUCGUUUUUUUUUAUCAAAUUAUCAACCUUCUUUGAAAUCCAUGUUUUAGAGAUAAGCAUAUAGGCCAGGUCUGUACUCUUUGGUUUAUUAUAAUACGUUGGAGAAAGUGGCAAGUUUUGUGCGGAGCAUCAGAUUCAACUAAAUAUGUGAAAUAUGUAUAGGAAGUUAGAAGGAUGUAUUUGAGACCAUUCAUUCUCUUUAGUUAUGACUUAUGAGGUGUGCCUGGACUGCACUCUAUUUCAUUGGUGAGUGGUAAUGGAGACAAAUAAUAUGUGAGACAAGUAUAGGAAGUUGGAAGGAUGUAUUUGAGACCUUUCAUUCUCUUUAGUUAUGACUUAUGAGGUGUGCCUGGACUGCACUCUAUUUCAUGGGUGAGUGGUGAUGGAAACAAAUUUAUGUUUGCCUCUAUUUGCUUGGGGAAAUUUUCGUAUUGACAUUUUUGUUUCCUCCUUAUGUUAAUUAUAUACGGAUUAUCGUCACAUUUUUUUUAUCAGUUUUUCCUGUGAGUUCUGCAUAUCUCAUUAGAAAUUUUACCACAUAUUGCAAAUGCAGGGCAUUGGUUCAGAUGAUAUCAAAGCACUCAAAGCUAGAAAGCUUAUUGUUCCACAGUAAUAAUCAUUUCAUUUGAUUGUUCUUCAGAGUUUUGUUGAUAUUAUGAAUAUCUGUAGUGACUUGACUGCUCUUUCAUUAUUGAAAUUCUUAAUUAAUAUCUUAUAAUCUAGGACAUGGAAGGGUUACUCUGUGAAAAAGGGUCCUAACUAUGCUCCAAAAAGAAAGAAGGUUGUCACUGAUUUAACUCGAGAUAACUUUCAGAGGUAAUUUUUUUUCUUAAACUGAAUGUAGAUUUGGGGUGGCGGAUUUGCAUCAUAUCUUAUGAACUCUGACUAUACUGUAUUACUUUGUUGCAGUGGGGAGUGGAAGGAAAUAGAGUUCAAAGAGUACAACUACACUGCUAAAGGUCAGCCUCUUGAAGGUGGCAGUCUUCAUCCACUAUUAAAGGCAAGAAGAUAUUUCCCUUGUUCAUCCUUCCUCCUUUCCCCAAUCUCCUUUUGAUUAACGGAAUAUCAAAACUACACACACACAAACACACACAUUACAGGAACUUUAUGGACAAAAGGAAAAUUCAUAUUCUGGAAAACAUACGCAAAAGCAUCGUCUGUUUUUACAUAUUUAAGCUUGUAGCUUGAUACGGAAUGCAUUUAUCAUACUUUUGAUUUACAUCAAUAAAAAUUAUACGAUAUGUAGUCUAUCCUAUAUGUAUACUAUUCGAUAUGUUUAGGAAAUUAUGUGUUUUUUGGUAGUUUCUAUAUGUGGUCUGUGCUAUAUGUAUAAAUAUAUUAUGAUUUUAAUUAUGGUGAUGCCUGUAUCCAAAAAAAAAAAUGCAUCAACAUAUGUCAUGCUUUGUUUCCAAAAAAAUACAUCAACAUUCGCGAACAAAACAACCUACAUAAAACUUUUUCAAACCUGUAUGAUGUGAACUUAUGAUUUAACUGUGUUGUUUCAAAAAUUUGUGUUCUGACAGUGAGAUUAUGUAAUUUGAUCAAUUCAGUUGACCUUACCAAAAAAGUGAACAUCAAAUAAAACAUAUUUAAUAAAUUAUGGUGAUAAAUGACAGUGAGAUUAUGCUUUUAUCCCGAACAUAUUUGAUCAUUGUGUGUGUAUUUAAUAGAUCUGGACAUUUUACAUUUUUAGGUACGGGCUCAAAUAAAACAGAUUUUCCACUGUAUGGGGUGAGUCUUAUAUUUUUCAUGUGGAAGCCUGAUGUCUAUUGCGGUAAUCAAUUAUUUCGACCUUUGAGAUUGACAUUUUGUAAUGGUUAUCUAAUGCUGCAGGUUUGAGGAGAUGCCCACAAAUAAUUAUGUUGAAAGCAGGUAAUGGUUGUUUUGUUUCCGUAUUUAUACCUUUCUAGUGUUAGUGUGUGUGUCAGUGUGUGUGUGUGUGUGUGUGUGUGUUUCUUUUUUUGGUCUACUAUAGUGGUAAUGAGGUUUGAACCUUUGAUUUCAUAUAAACCAUCCAAACCCCUCACCACUAGUCCAAUCCUAGUGGCUUUCCUAAUCUAUGAUGUGCACACAAAAUGUAUAAAGAACAAUAAAUUUAAUAUAAUGUAUUAGAUGUAAAGAAUAAUAAUGGAAGAAAAAAAAGACUUUCAAAGUUCCAACAUAAAACUUUGUAACCCUCCUCCUGACCACGGUAAAUAUAUCAAACUCGGCACUUUUUAAGGAGGCCUUCAAGCAAGCAGUUGAAAAAUAAAAUGUUUGGAAGUUAUUACAGCCUGACCUUUAAUAUAUCCUUAGUAUAACUGAUAGUCAAAUAAAUCCCAAACUUUUGGAUAGGCUUGGUAGUUGCAGGCUUGCAGCCCUUAAUUAUAAAAGCCGAAUCCAAAAUCUUGGUGCACUGAAUUGGUAUACUACAAUCUGUGUUUCAGCGGGUAUAGGAUGAGGUUAUGGAAUAAUUAUGGAAUUUCCAAAAUCUUUGAUUUGAAUGAUGGCAAAGUGACAAUGAAGCAAUUUUUAUAUUUUUGAUUGAGAACGCCCGUGUUCUUCGAAAGGUUCCUUCAGUAGUGACUGUUAUAUAUGCAUCAGAAGAACACCGUGUUUUAUAGUAACUCUUAUAUGAAUUACAUGAAUCAUACUGUUAAUCUCCAUGAUUCAUUGCUUCUUGCUUGUUUAUGUUAAUUUGGGGCUGGAUUUUAUCUUAAAAAAUAUUGAAAUUUAACAGAUUACAUACUUUGUGUGUAGUAUGGUAUAGUGUGUAGCAGCACAUGUCUGUUCUGAUUGUAAACUUUACAUCUUAAUGUUUUAAAUGGCAGUUUCUGGAACUUUGAUUCCUUGUUCCAGCCCCAACAACAUCCUGCUCGUGAUUCACAUGACACAUUCUUUUUGGAAGGUUAGUAAAUCAUUGAUUCUUCAAUGCUACUUGAAUCCUCUUUGCUCCCAUCCUGAGUACAUGUCACACAUAUGCAGCUCCUUCAACAACAAAGAAAUUGCCUGAAGAUUAUGUUCAGCGGGUGAAGCAAAUUCAUGAAUCUGGUGGAUAUGAGUCUAGGGGGUAUGAGCUUGAGCACCCUCAAUACAUUUUCUAACGAGGCUAUUUAUUGAUAAUUCAUAGACAGAUAAGUUUCAAAUUGCUUUCUGAGAGUAACCUUACAAUUUAUUCCUUGGUAGAUAUGCAUAUGACUGGAAAAGAGAGGAAGCAAAUAAAAACCUUCUGCGGACCCACACAACUGCUGUUUCUUCCCGGAUGCUUUACCAGCUGGCACAGGUUUGUAUGUUCUGAAUUUGUUGUAUCAUGUUUUUGUGAAUGUGUUUGAUUGUGUUGUGUUUGGGGCCGUUGAGCAUCCUAUUAUCUUCAUUUUUCUUUCAGAUUUUAGACUGAAAUUUUUAAGUUAUAUGUUUAUAAUUUUAAGAGUAAUGCUAGCAACACUCUCUUUUGAACACCCUCUCUAAUACUCACUCACUUAUUGGUUUAAAUCAUUAUGGGUCUACACUUUGAAUAUUGAACCCACACAAAAUGGUGGGUCAUACAUUGACUUCAUCCAAUAAAAGAGUGUUAGAGUGUUGAAAAGUGAGUGUUGCUAGCAUUCCUCUAAUUUUAAAGGUAGAUCAUAGCUAUUUUACAAAGUACUUCUGUAUUCUGGCUUUGCCUUUUCCCUGCAUCCACAGGGAUAAUAGAUUAUACUUUCUUAGUUAUUGCUCCUCAUUAAUGCUUGCAUCAUUUUUUCUGUGUGCCAUUAUAAUUUUGCAGAAACCAUUUUCUCCAAAAAAAUAUUUCUCUAUAGAUCGUGUAUUCCGAAAUGAAGCAGUGGACCGUACACAUCUUGCUGAGUUCCAUCAGAUAGAAGGUACGUGAGCUAUUAAGUUACUGGGCUCAGUGUUUUAUUUCUUAAAUCGUUCAUCUUUUUACAAACGAAAACAAUCCACCUUUGAUGGUCCAGUUAUGAUUUUUUUUUUCCACGUCAUAUUAUAGAGGAGGUGGGGGAUUACUCAAAUAUAUUUUUGCCGCGUCACUUUUUUGGUUCGAUGUACUGGGGGAUUAAUCUUAUAACUAAUUUUUUUGAUGCCCGUGAUUUUCCAUUUCAAUUCAGGCCUUGUAUGUGAUCGAGGACUCACUCUCUGUGACUUAAUAGGAGUUCUACAUGAUUUCUUCUCACGCUUAGGUAAUGAUGCUCUCUUGCAACAAAAAACUUUGUAUGAGUUAAAUGUUGAAUGUAGGUUAAAUGAUUAUUAAAGACAAGUUUUAGUAGUACAUUUAUUUUGUUACUAAUCUUUUGAUGAAAAUUUCUAUAUUGAGUUCAGGCAUGACCAAGCUGAAAUUCAAACCUGCUUACAAUCCAUACACAGAACCUAGCAUGGAGAUUUUCAGGUGAGACUCCCUGUAAUGAUUAUUUGGCUUGUCGUUAUCUUGAUAAUUGAUAUCCCAAGAGAUUACAUGUUAAUCACGUGCUCGUAUAACAGUUAUCAUGAAGGCUUCAAAAAAUGGGUAGAAGUAGGAAACUCUGGCAUGUUCAGACCUGAAAUGUUGCGGCCGAUGGGACUUCCUGAAGAUGUCCAAGUUAUUGCAUGGGGACUUUCUCUUGAAAGGUGAGAGCAAAACACCGAGAACGCCAUAUAAUCAUUGCCAACAGUAAAAUGAAUUAAUUUAUAAAAUUUAAAUUCUUAAAUAAUUUUCUAAACAAAUCUAGUGAAUGUAUUGGGGAACUACGAUACAACAUGUCGAUGUAUGUCACUGAGUUUAUGUUAACUUGUUAUUUUUCCUAAAAACAGGCCAACAAUGAUAAUGUAUGGGAUAGAUAACAUCAGAGAUCUCUUCGGCCACAAGGUAUUGCUAUGGGAUUUUUAGCUGAAUAGAUCACUGUUUAUUUGUUUUUUUGUCUUUUUAAGGGUGUAAAAUUGAUUGAUGGAUUCUCAUAGUAAUAUAGUAUCCUAAACCAUGUAUUUUCCAUGUUUUUUUGCAGGUGGAUCUUGGACUUAUCAAGAAAAAUUCAAUAUGUCGACUUGGAAUUGAAUGAAGUGGUCCAUUAUGUCUGAUAUAUUUGUUGUCGUUCAUACUUAUUUGUCUCUAAUAUCAAGCAAUACAUGCGGAUUAGUUCGAUUUCUGUUCGAUAAAUUUUGAUUGUGGUAAUAGCAUUUUUCAUUUGGUAGGGAAAUAUUGACAUGGGAAAGUUUCCCCUUUGCAAUUUCUGUUGGUUUGAACAAAUUAUGAUAGUGAAAAGUAACACAUUAUCAGCUGUGUUUUAACCUUUUACCUAUUGAACAAUCCCUUUAUAACAGUGGUGAUAGAAUUUUUUCUCCACGAACUGGUGCUUGGACUUGGUUCCAUAGUCGUUAUCUAUUCCCAUAAAAUAAGUAGACAAGCCUAACACGAUCCACAUAACGAGAAUAUAUCAUCUUUUUGUAUGAAACAAACGUGCAUCUUCUAUUUUCUAUACGCUGAUUGAUAUAAGAAGUUUUCUGUCGCAGCUCAUGGCAACAAAACCAGGCUGCAACUUUCUCCAACCUAUUGUGGAUGAUUUAGUUUGUUUCCCGCUACUUGAGUCCCCAUUUGUCAACUCUAAUAUAUGAACUAUGCUAGCCGCUUUUGCCAAAAUAGUGUUAUUUGAUUUCCUGUUGAGAGUUAAUAAAAGGAUUUCGGGCAAACCAUAAUUUAUCGAACAUUGUGCCAAAAAGAAGGUUCCAAUAUGACCCAUCAUUGCACCUGUUAUCACCGUCCAAACCGUUCAAAUUCAACAUGUUGAGAUGUGACUAAAAAAUGGAUUUUGAGAAAGUGAAGAAUCGUGACACGAUUUGGCAACCAUGUCACGAUUUUUUAGGCAGUGAACAUUGUUUUUAGGGUGUCCAAUCGUGACACGAUUUUGGGAAAACGUGACACGAUUUUCGGCUUGCUGAGCAAGUUUUCAGGAUAAGGUUGGUCAUACCUUGGGUCGUACGCACCAAACGUGUCACAAUUUGGGAAAUCGUGACACGAUUUUGUCCGGAUCUGAACACUAUGUAAGCACUCCAUGACCCAUUUGUUGGGUAAGCUUGGUGAAUCUCAUGGAAACCAAGGGAGGGAACUUUUAGGGUUUUAGAUACUAAAGGUUGAGGGCCUUUGGGUGAGGUUCAAAGCUUCAAGAUGUGAAUCUUGGAGAACCAAAAGAGGGGGCUCUUGUGAAAAGGGUUGGGGCCUUUUGGAGAAGAUUCAUGGGGUUGGGAAACACAUGAGUGGAGAGUCAUUUGUGAGCAACUUGGGUGAGUCUUGUGAAACCAAAAGAGAAGAUCCUUAGUGAAAUCAAAUGCUAAGGGUUGGUUCUCUUUUGGUGGUUAGAUUUUAGAGUUGGGAAACAAUUAGUGUCUUGUUCAUUGGUGAGAUUGGGAAAAUGGGUAGAAAUUAGGGUUGUUCUUUGUGAACUUGUUGAAGCUAAUUUCUUGUAACUCAUUUGUAUCUCUUUGUAAGAACUCAUUAAUAGUGGAUUGGAGAGAUCAAUCUCUCCCCCAGAUUAGGUCAAGUUUGACUGAACUGGGUCAACAAUUUCUUGGUGUUGUUAUCUUUUCUUUACUCUCUUUAUCUUGUUUAUUCCUUGCUUGGAUUGUGGUUUUGCUAUACACUUAAUUAUAGACUAGGUCUAUAUAUUGUUGUUGUUGCUUGUAGUUAACAUUUUUUAUUGUUGAUUGUCAUUGAUACUUGCUCCACGAAUCUAAAUUUCAUUGAUGUAAAGUUUGGAAUUGACCGAGUUCACAACAUAAUAAAAGCCACUUAAACCAAUUCGUCUCCUUGAAGAAAGAGCUUGAAUUGGAUGUUUUAAUUCUAGGGCAUAUGCUAUGUGGUAGCUUGCAAUCUAGCAGUGAUUCUUCCCAUUACUUCCUAGUAAGAAAUAUAAACUGAUGAGGUAUAAUCAUCUAUCAAAUACUUAGUGUGUUCAAACUCAAAUAUGUUUUUUGAUAGCCAUGUUAUUGAUACAAAGUUUCUAUCAGCUUUGUUGAUGAUUAAUCUUAGUGAUCACCUUUAAUAGGGUUUGCCCUAUAACAAACAUAUUUUUUAUCUUUAAGACUCAAACCAGAGACAUUAUUUAAGAGAUCCGAGUCAAGUUCCACUUAGACCAAUGUAAUAUUGGUAUAAAGUAUAAACUAGUCGAACCUUCUAAAGUUAUAAAUAAUGUGGCUUUCAAAAUAGAAUAUUGAGCAAAUUAUACUUACCUUCCAUGAGUUCGAUUAAAAUGUCACUUAUGCCCCCUCUAGUUUGCCGUAGACACUGACCUCGCCCCUAAUUAACAUGUGAAUAUGUCAUUAGGAAAAAAACCUAAACAAUCUCUACAGCCUUUUCUUUUCUCCAUCUCUAAUUUCUCCUCCUUUUUGUUUUAUUGAAGAGUAAUUUCUCCAUCAUUAAUCAAAUUUAGCUCUAAUUCUCAUCUUUUAUACUAUACUUUUCAUCCAAACUUUUGGUAAUGCAGUAACCCUUUUGAACCCUCUAUCAGGAUUUGUGCAAUUGGGAUUCCCCUUCAUAGAUCCUAGCCAUAAAAGUCUUUUUUUUUUUUUUUGUACCAAUGGAUAGUUUCAGAGCCGAAGAUCAUCACCAUGUAAAACGGAUUUGCCUUUAAUUUCAUUUUUAGCCAUGAAAGUCUCAAUUUCAUCUUUUAUUUUUGUCAAUUGGGACUCCCCUUCGUCUAGCCAUAAAAAUACUCUGAAUUGCUGCUUAUGCAAAUUUGUUUUUAACCAAUUUACUAUCUGAGAAACAUUUUCCAAAUUUUAUAUUGAUAUUAGUUUGUCAAGAGUUUCUUUCCUGGUCAUGUUUUCAUGUUUUGAGAUUUUUAUCUGUUGGUAGCAUGAAAUCGUGAAUUACGACCUCUUCUUUGUAUCUUUCAUUUUACAUGCUGCGUUUCAAUGUGCCGUGUUUCAAGGUAAGGUUAGAGAACAGUGCAUUUUGUUAAUUGAUGGCCGUGUUACAAACUAGAGGGGGUGUUUGUGUGUUUGAAGUAAAACUUUGGUGAGGUGAGUGUAAUUUGCCCCAAAAUAUAUUAAAUACAUUGGAAUAAUUCGUAACUGAUUAAAAAAACUUAAUAAGAGAUAGCCAUGUUAUUUAUGGAUUAAAAAUGAUUAAGAAUUAAACUAUCUAUAUAUCUUGCAAAUUAUCUUAGGUCAGCGUAGAUUUGUGAUGCCUUGAGAGUUGAGAAUGAUAUCUUGCACUUGUAGGAGCAGUCUUCCUCAAAUAAUUUCAUUACCACAGAACAUUGUUCCCCCAAAAGAAAGCAACAUGAUGAACUUUGCGUGCUUGAAGAGCUUGUAACAUAUUGCUGUUCACAGAAAUGCUGAUCAAGAUAUAUAAAUUUGAGUGUUGAUCUUUCAGGAGAUAGUUUGAAUUUUAUGCUCAGCCGGUAUAGAUGGCUCAAACAAGAAUGUUAACCGCGAUGAUAUGCCGGACAGAGAUUACUGAAUAGCCCAAGAGUCAAGUCUUCCACAAUUCCUAUCAGGGGAAAAAGUUGUAAAGAUCAUGAGAAAACACAAGCAAAAAGUGAAUUAAGUUCUGCUUAGAUACACCACUUAAUUGAACACUUAUUGCAUAAUUGCUUAUCAUAUAAGUGCUUUAACAAAUGAUAAAAUAAAUUCAAAUUAUUCUCGUAUAAACUGUAUGUUGUUUUCAUUAACAAUACUAAAGAGCAUAUGGACAUGACAUAAGUUGUUUCCACUUUCCAUAAGCUCUCACAAGUGAUUAUGCAAAUAAGCCAAUCCAACAAGCCCUUAAUAAAAGAGGUACUUUGACAAAAAUAAACACGAUAGCAAGUAGUACAACACUACAACUACAACAUGUACAUUUAAAGUGUGUUAUGAGCAGAUACCUUAAACCAUCUUAGACAGUGCAAGAAGUACACGGGUCAGGUCUCCGCAAUUCUAUUCAUUGGCACACUCCACAGUGGCAUGUUUCCAAGCACACUCUUUAGCAAUUGUAUCUUCACAAGUGACCCAGCGGAUGAUAAAUUGCAAGUUUCAUUUUUGUUUAAUAGGACAGAGGAUCUCCUUUUCCUCUACCGGAGUUGUUUCUGCUGCACUAAAUCAGCUGUUACAAAGUCAUUUAACACCCGCCUUAGAGAAGAACAGUUAUGAUUUCAUGACAAUUACUUGUCUGACCAAUGAAGUUAAUACAGUAAGAUUAAUAUGCUGUUUUACUUCUUGAAAAGUCAAUCACGUUCUGUUUUCCACAGAGCCAUCGGUUUUUCUUUUUACGUCUGGGCUGUAGAUUGGGGAUGCUUAGUAUCCUCUUUCAUGACAGUAGAUUGAAGUUUAUGGCGUUUUCUAAUCAUAUUCUUGACCAUGUUGUUAAAUUCUUCAUCUGUGCAAGCUAACAUGCAUUUUAGCUUGACAUUAAUCUGAUUCUCCACCAGAACCUUGUGUCUUGGAAUAAUUCGACCCUCGAGGGAAUAGCUGAAAAACCUGAUAACAGCAAGAGAAUUGCAUAUUUAAAGUUGAAUAUGCAUUGGAAUAAAAAAACAUUAAAAAUUAUGUUAUCUAUGGUCAAAAUAUCAUUGAUACCUCGGAAACUCAAUGGCAUCUUUCAAAGUUCGAACCAUGGUUUUGCGCAAAUAAGUAUACUUAGGACGAAGAACGUCUAUAUUGUAUCUGAGCAGCAUUGGGAAAUCAGCAAUCAUUUCACCCAGUUGCUGAAGACGUAUGCCGAGAGACAAAUAAUACUUUACAUUUCCUUCAAGCUUAUGUACUAUGCUGCAUCCCAAGAGCUCAGGUCCAAGAGCUAUAACCUUUGGAAUAUUUUCUUCAGUGACUCCAGCCUUGGUCAUCAAGAAUAUGACCUAUAUACAACAAGCAAACUCGGCAGAUUAGUUAAUUGAGGCCUCUUGAUCAGACAGUUUAUAAAAUGUGAUCAGAGUGAUAAACUUUGUGGUGAUGUUUCCGAAAAAUAACUUAAUGGUAACAAAUUUUGUAGCGGCAAAGAAAAAAGACAUACCACAGGCCUAAUCUUCUUGUAAAGGCUGUAAGUGAGUAGAGUGGGAAAUUUUACAAGCAUCUUGGCAAUCCCGUCAUUUCGAACCCCUAGGUCCUGAAAAAACUUUACCUUCAUGAUAAAAUAUGUAACAAAAUUGUCAGUAUUUUAUCAUCAGGAAACAUGACAGAAACCAUUGAAAAUUUUAUUUAUGAAUCUACUAGACAUCAACAUUAAACAAUGCAAGCGUCAACUUAGGAGAGAAACAAAUGAAAAAUUUACAUACCUUUGGCACAAUAGUCAUCUCCAAGUCAACACAAAAGACCAUUGGUUUAAUUGUAAGCAUUCUCCUCAUCCCAUCUCGGGUAAUCCCAUAAUAGUACAGAUAUUUAACAAGGGGUUUCCAUUGUUCUUCAAUGCUGCACGCCAUCAAUUGUGGCCGAAAUGCAAGCAGCUUACCAACAUCUUUACUUUCAAGCCCGAAUUCUUUCAAGUAAUCAACCUGAAAUUUACAAUUGUUGCAUCAUACUUUGUUUGUAUAUCAGAAACUAUCAAAGUAUGAGAGAAGACAACAAGGAUAUAUUACAAUAUGACGUUAACCCUAUAAAUUGUAAAAAUUAAUGUACCUUUCGGUUCAUUUCUUCCAAAGUAUAGUGACCGAGAGCUUUAGGAAAAUCAAAAACCAUGGUGCCAAAAUCCUUCGCAUCUAAACCCAUAUCCAGAUAGAACUGCACACGAGUUUUCACCUCUUCCAAGCUAUAAGAUAACAACUUCGGACACCGACUCACAACAUAACCCAUCCAUUCCCUCCUGACUCCAUUAAACUCUAAAUAAUCAACAAUCUCAUCCAACUCCCCGUCACUCCGCAGCAAAACAUUAUCUCCACUCUUUAACAUUGCAUCCCCAAUAAACUCUCCCUUAACGAGCACCGACUUCAACCACUCAACACGGUUCCUUAUAGACUCAAGCUUCCCUCUUGACAUCAAAAUGAGCUUAGCUAUCUGAGGAUACGAUAGAGAAUUAUGCUUCAACCAUCUAGAGAAUUGAAGAAAUCCACAAUCAAAAUACAAAAACUUCAAAAAACUAUCAACAAUACGCAAACAUGGGUUGCCUGCUAUCAAUAAUUUAACGUUGUCAGCACAUAUGUGAUCGUUGGAUCGAAAUCGAACGAUUCAUAUUUCAAGCUUGUACUGUUCAAUUAAAAACUAAAUUAAAGAAAGGUGCUAUGAAGUGUGAACACUUUCUCUAGCACUCACUCUCUUAUUCGGUGAAACUCGUGUGGGUCUCACGCUUUAGAAAUGAAACCCACAUAAAGUGAUGAGACCCACAUGACUUUCACUCAAUAAAAGAGUAAAUGAUAGAGUGAGAGAGUGUUCCUAGCAUUUCUCUAAAUCAAAAUAGGCAUUGAAAUUUGGACCGUCAGAUUUCAUUCCAACGACCAUAUAUGUACCGAAUGAGUGAUUGCGUCGAUUAUUGACUAUGGCAAUCCAUUUUCAACAAUACUCACAAAACAACAAUGGUUUUGUUUUACAUGAACAAUAAAUCAAACAGCUUACCAACAACUUCAAAACAAUAAAAACCUUUGUAGCACCGACAACUCUAAUCAAAGAUGUGUUCGGUGUCCGACACAAUACACACAUAUGGUUACAUUCAAAUAAUUCAUUUUCUCAAAUUACUACCGAUGUCAAUGUGUCAAUGGCGUGUCAAGUGUCCGUGUCAAUGCUUCAUAGAUAAAAACUAACAACUCACAACCAACACUAAUCUCAAUUCAUAACCAUAAUACCUGAUAAGUGGCACAACUUGAGAAUCUUCAAUAACAGUUUUAGCCCUUAAAUUAAAAGUCGAAUUUGAAUAUUCCGGCAAUCUUUUCAAAUUAGCAGCUUCAAUCAUAACAUAAUCAAUAAAAUCACCCAACCUAUCAACCAAAUUACCAGUAUAAGUAAUUCCAAAUUUACCCUUCCGCAUUGCUUCUUUAAAAACCUCUUCAGUAACCUUCCUACGAAUUUCAAUAGCUUGCAUAAUCAUUUCCUCUUCUUUUUCAUCACGCCGAAAAAGGGUACUCAGAGGAGGAAGAGAAGAACCCACAUCAGGGUCACUUGGAGAUUGAGCGUAAAUUGAACCUGGAAAUUGUGGGGUUCUUUUUCUUACUAAGGAAAGUUCUAAAAGUUUGAUUUUUUCUUCGUGGGGUGUUGGGUCUUGUAGUGAGGUUGGUGAAGGAUUAGUGUUGGUGUUUUUUUGUGUAAGGUGGUGAAUGAGAAAUGAUGUUGAUUUUGCAUUGUGUCUUCUGGGAAUUGGUUGGUUUUGGUGUUGUUCGUUUGGGUUUUGGCAGUUGACGAUAGUGGUGAGUUUUGGGUUUUUGGGGGUGUGGAUAGAAGAAUGAGGGAGGUAAAGAGUGUGUUUUUGAUAUGAAAGAAGCAUUUUUUGUGUUGUUGAUGGUGGGAAUUAACAAUGGAUAAGAGUUUAUGGUUGCACUAUUCGUUUUGUUCUGGUUAUGUUUGAAGAAGAUGAGGAAUUGAAUGUGGGGUAAGUGUUUAAGUAAUAUAAUACUGAAUUUAUAUUAACAAGUGAGGUCCCAUGGUCUAGCGGUUAGGACAUCAGACUCUGAAUCUGGUAACCCGAGUUCAAUUCUCGGUGGGACCUAAAAUAUUUUUUUCUUCAUUUUUUUGACAAUUCUUGUUGUAUCUCCAAAGUAAGCUGCAUUUUAGUUUUUGAUUUUUUUUUUUAUGGAAUAACUUUCAUUUUGGUGUAUAUGCAAAAGUCUAUCUUCCACCUAUUUCUUUAUUUCUUCAAAAAAAAAAAAAAAAUGUAAGGAUUAAUUCAUAAAUUGAGCUUUCUACCAACGAAGUUAGUUCAAGCGGAAUAGGUUACACUUCUCCAACAUUACGAACUGAUUUUUGAAUUUUAACGCAAAAAAUAUUUAUAUUUAAUAUCUAACACCUCGAAUAGAAUUAUUUUUACUCGAGAUAACAUAUAUAAAAAAAUUGAGCUUUUAAAGACUUGACUCUUAGUUAAAAAUAGACUUAUGUGUGUUGUGUUUUAUAUAUAUUUUUUAAAUAGUUGACCUUGUUGGGAACAUAUCAAGUGAGAAUGAUGCUUAUAUUUGAGAAUUAUAUGAUUGUUUUUUUGCCAUUGGAUUUAAAUUUAUGUUUGAGAUUAAUAGGUCUUAAAGUUAGUCGCAUACACUUUAUGUAUUCUCUUUCCGGUUACAUCUUUUCCUCUUACAUUAUCAAAACAACAUGGUUGCCGAAACCGCCGCUAUAUAUUCUCACCGCCAUAUCUAUCUCCAUUUCUAUCUAUCGCUCUCUCUCGUCGUUACAUAUGCCCUUACAUUAAUUAGUUUUUGUGCAACAGUAAGUUUAGCCAUUAGAAAAUUUAGUUUAAAUGAAACUUGGGUAAAGAAAAUGCACAUAAUCUAUUAUUGAAGACAUGGAUACACAAAGUUCAUACCUUUAAUUAUAAUUGUCCAUGGACGCAUAAAGAAUUCUACUGUAUUAAGGGAAUUUAAGUUCAUGUCAUAACUCUCAAAUGAUGGAGAAAUAGAUAAUCAAUUGCAGAGUCAUCCAUGAGAAAGAAUGGAUAAAAUGAAAUAAAUAAAAAAAGAGAAAGAAGGGAAAAUGGAAAGGAAGAGACAAAAUUUGGGAUAUGGAUCAGUUUGAAUUGGCGGUUGAGGAAGGGGGUGACAACGACCCCUUGGUUGUGGAAGGUUAAUAGGGUCGUCAGAACUGAUGGUGGAAUGUGAGAGGAAGAAGAAUUGCAUCGUUUAAACAUGCUUCUCGCAUGACCCGCUUAUUCAUCUUUUAAUCUCGAUUGAUCUUUUUAAUUUGAUGGCUACCUUUCAUUCUCACAUGAUAUGGCCCCUGACCUUGUGUUUGUUUAAAGCACAUUCGAGCUGGUCUGGUCUCGUAACCUUAAAAUCAAUGGUUCUUUAAUUGCAGGUUAACCUCUUCCUGACCUAAUGUUGGUUUGGUCAGCCCAUUAGACGUAUAAUUCGUAAGGAAUGGGAUUUCUUGAAGAAGGAUGAAUUGUUGAGCUACACGAUGAAGGUAAUAUUCAUCAAUGAAGGUUUUGUUGUUGCGCCAUUUAGACUUCAACUCAUAAAGCAUGUCAUGGAAAACUAGGAUGUUUAUCCAAUUUCCAUGAACGACAUAUGAUGUCAAAGAAGAAAGUAAAGGACGACGAUGUCUAAAGAAUCCAAGAUGGUGAUGCCAAUCUAAAAUUUUCACAUAUGCUAUAAAGCAUAUGAAUAAACGCCACAUAAGACGCGAUUAAAAAGGAUGGCUUUAUGGUUAAACUUUUUAUAGGAUAAGGUAUGGGAAAUACAACCAAACAUAUAGUUGUAGAAACCAUAUGCGGCCCACUCGCUUAUUGAAAGGAUUUAUUCCUUUGAUCUAGUUGUUCCAACAUAGAGAAGAAACAUCGGCAGAGCAAGGAAAUGAACAAAGAAUUCCAAGAGACAUUAUUUUCAGUAUUAAGGAGAGAAGCAAUAUAUAAUUGAAGUUCUUUAACGAUACAAAUUGAGCAUGUGCAAACAAAUAAGGAAGGGAUGCAAGCGACAAUUGUUGCUUAGUUACUUUUUUUUUAGUAAGGUUAUGAUAUUAGAGCAUUCUCACUUUAAAUCAACAUAUUUUUCGUUACUCAUUUUAUAUGUGCUUUGUGGUUUUAAAGAUAAUCGUGAUGGCGCCUCACGUUGAACUAUUUUUUGUGUUAUUGAAAUUUUAGGAGUUCCAAAUUGGUGUUGGUGAAGCAGCGGUGACAAAGACCCGGUUAUUUUUGUUUUUCUAAAAUCAAUUUAUUAAUUUUUUUUUACGAUCACACGUGUUUAAAAAACAUUGUAAGUAGAUUUUUGUCAAAAUCUGAUUGGGGAUGUUGUGAUUGAGCUUCAAAAUCAGCUCAACUUGCGUGCAUGAGUUUUCAAUUGCUAUUAUCAUUUCACAAGAAGAUAAUAGUGAGGUUUCAAAAUCAAACAAUCGUGAAACUUAAGAGUCAAGAGUGCAUUUAAGCCCUCAUAUACAAAAUUGUGGAUAAAUGAGUGUUUGUGUGUGUGUGUGAAUGAGAUACAUGAGAUUUAACAAUGUUGUCAUGAUCUUAUUCUUAAGAUCGAAUAAUAGAUCCUUUAUCAUAUAAUUUUUGUUUGACGGAUACCGCAUAGUUCUUAGCUUUAAAUAGUAAAAUAUACCUUGAGAGCUUGUUGAUGUAAGAUUUUUACAUUUCAUAAAACUAUUUACACGUAAGUAUGAUAGGAUCGUUUCCGCAAGGAGUUGCGUAUUUCAUAAGCAUUUUCACAAUAUUUGUCACAUUAAGUGUUUGGGUAUAAAUUGUUUGUUUGUGUAAAACUAUUUUCCUAUUCGACAUAAAAGUAAAACGAGAAGAGAUAGGGCUAUUUCGCUUGCGGUCAGAGACAUCAACCAAGCGUAACAACUGCAAUCUCUUGAUCGAUUAACGAAUUCUAGCUUUUUAAACGAUACUAUCACAAUCACUCGACAAUAUCAUUCGUGUCCAAAUUAUAUUGUUAUUUCUAAGGGAUUGUUUAAACAUUGAUUUCCCAAACGUUUAAACGAUCACAAAGUCGAUUGGAUCGUUUAAUCGACGAUUUCUCAACCGAUUAAAUGACCCAAAAGCAUUAAGUUAUAGAUUAAAAGUGAUUAUCAAAUAUUAACAUUCAUGUCUAGAGUGAUAACUUAAGGUAGAUUGUUAUUCUAUUUAUAGAUUCAAAAGUAUGUGUCCAUAUCAUUUCAAAUCUCAAUAAAACAUAAAAGCAAGAAUAACAACAAUAUUGAAUAAAUAGCUAGAACCAUAUAUUAAAUGAUCAAAAGAUUACAUAAUAGCUUGUUUGAAUACCUCAAAACCACAUGAGGUGAUAUAGCUAUAUAUGUCUAUGAUAGCUUUGCAAAGGAUAAAGAAGAAAUGAAGAUUCAAUGAUAAGAUCCAUGAUAUCUCAACAAAUAUUGGCUUGAAUCUACUCCUAACUACCUUGCUUUGUGUUUCUCUCUCUAGAAAAGUCAUAGUCUCUCUAAAAAUGUAAAUAAAACAAUAAAUGAAAUUGGUUGGAAAGAGAAGAGAAAACUAUUUAUAUGGGCCACUUCUGCGAAAUUUCGCUAAUAGCCAAAUAUUUCACGAUUACCGAAAUGUAUGAAAUCUGCCUCUGCACCAAUGGUGUUGUUCCACAUGUCCCUUAUCCUCUUGAUUUUCCUAAAGUUCGCUGAUGGCGAAAUUCUUCUGAUGCAAUUUCGCUAAUGGCGAAAUAUUCGCUAAUUACAAAAUUCGGACUUCUGCUUCUGAACUUCACUGAUGGUGAAACCUCUCUGAAACUUUGCCAAUAUUUCGCUAAUGGCAAAAUAUUCAUUUUUUUUCUACAAAAAGACUCAAAAAAUUCGAAUCGAAUAUUCAAUAAAAGAAAAUAAUAUAGCAUCGAAUAUAAAAAUUUAAAUCAAAUAAAUAAAAUAAAAAUAAAAACAUUCAUAUAAAACAGAGGAUAAAAUAGACUUUUUAUUAAAUUUGUCGGUAGUAGUCAAGUUGAACCAAAGUGAGAGUAUAGAUAAAUAUCUCUAGAAAAUAUCUGAAGAGAGAGAACAAAUAUCUUCUCUGGCCCAAUAACCCAUAAUGAAGUAGGGUAAAGCUAACUCUACACAACGGGCCUAAACCGUCAUAAGUUUAACCCUAGGUAGUAACCCUAGUUAACACGCUCCUCUCACUCUUCACCUAUAUAAACACCCCUUGAGUCCACUCUCAGAAAUAUCUCAAGCAAAUCCUUUGCCUCUAUAACCUCCCUCCCAAACCCUAAUUCAGUUUUCCCUUUGCUCUUUUCAAUGGCUGAUGUUGAAUACCGGUGCUUCGUCGGAGGUCUUGCAUGGGCCACCGACAACGAAGCUCUCGAGAAAGCCUUCUCUCAAUACGGCGAGAUCGUUGAUUCCAAGGUCCGUUUGUUGCUUGCAGGCUUCGGAUCGGAUCUGACACGAUUUUGAUUCGGAUUUCUAUGGAAACCUUUCUGAUCUGUGAUCUCCGAUCUGUUCUGUGUUACUUGUUACUCUGUUACUUGAUCUAUUUGUUACUGUUACUGUUACUGUAUGAUUUGAUUCUUUUAUUACUCACUCACACCAAUAGGUACGUUCAUCUUCUUCUUUGAACAAAAGUUGAAGAUCGAUCGGUUACUAUUCGGUUCUAGAUCUAUGGAUCUGUUUUUUUAUUUGAGAUUUAGGGUUUAGAUCUGAUUUUGUUUGUGUUUUGUGCAGAUCAUUAACGAUCGUGAAACUGGACGAUCAAGAGGUUUUGGAUUUGUGACAUUCGCUAACGAGAAAUCCAUGAACGAUGCCAUUGAAGCAAUGAACGGUCAGGAUUUGGACGGACGUAACAUCACUGUGAACCAAGCUCAGAGCCGUGGUAGCGGUGGAGGUGGAGGAGGAGGCCGUGGUGGCGGUGGUUAUGGAGGUGGUGGCGGUGGAUAUGGUGGAGAACGUCGUGGUUACGGUGGAGGUGGUGGAUACGGAGGAGGAGGUGGUGGUGGAUAUGGAGAACGCCGUGGUGGAGGCGGUGGCUACAGCAGAGGAGGUGGUGGUGGAGGAUAUGGUGGUGGUGGAUACAGCAGAGGUGGAGGUGAUGGUGGUUAUUAGGUUUUAGAUUUGUCGUUUAUGAUUAUUAUACUAGAUGUUGGGAUCUAGCUCUGAAAUUCUGUUUUUGUCACUGUUCUGUUAUGGCUUCGUUUUGAUGUGUCUUUUAUUGGUGUAUCUCUGAAUUUGAUUGUGUAUAACGAUCAAUUUAAAGAAGAAAAAAAAAACUGAGAUAUUAGUUGCACCAUAUUUUCUGUGUUUUAUUAUUCGUUUUUUUUUUUUUCUUCUCAUUUUUGCCUGCCGAAUAUUUAAAAAUAAUUUUAUCUAUAAUCAAAUCCAAUCUAUUAUGAAAAACACUUUCCCAAGAUAAUCGAUAAAUAUGAACAAUGAGUUGUGACCUAUAAUUAUAAUGAUCUUUUAAUUUUUUUAAUUUGGGUAAUGAAGUCAUCUGUUCAUUUUAAAAAGUUUAGAAAAAGAUGUGGUUUCAUGAUUUCCAAUUUUUUAGUUUUUUCCUCACCUGAUUACUUAGAUUUUGCGUUACACGAUUUGAUUUUUUGUUUAGACUAAACGGCCAUUCAUUGCAAUUGUACAUAUACAGCUUGUACUUAUACGAUUGAUAUUAGAACUUCCAAAUUCUGAUUUCUGCCACCAUAUAUUUAAAAUGGUUUAAUUGCACUUUUGAACUGUUGUGAUUUCAGACCUUAUCAUCCAUUAUCUGUCCGUCUUGUAGGCUUUUUAUUUAAUAUAUCUUGUCAAAGUAUUAAAAUUUUGUUAUGGGUACAAUGAAUUUUAAGAAAUUUUCAAUCUGAAACUGAUUUUAAUAUGAAGUUUUGUGACCAUGGAUACAAUAAUUAUGUUGGUAAGACAAUCAAAAUCCCUGCUAUGCUAACCUUUGUUAUGGUUGUUUCCAACAUUUUCAAUAUGAGAGGAAUAGGGUGAAAGAGGCAUAAUAGAUCCGUUUAAGAGGGAAAAAAAAUGCUUAAUAUAUGCUUUGGUCCCUUAAAUUAUUUUUGGUUUUCAUUUUGAUCCCCUAACUAUAAAACGUCUCAAUUUGGUCCCAUAAGUCUUCAUCCGUUUCUUAAUGUGGUCCUCUGCAAUUUUUUGAUGUGAUUUUAACCAUUUGAUUGCAUGUACAUUGUAUCUAAUAGUUAACCGUGAGCACCUAAUUUUUUUUCAUUUCUUUUCAAAAACCUAAAUCCUUUCUCUGUAAUUGAAACUAAAAUUCACAAAAAAUCACAACCUUAGAUUUACAACAUCACAAAAAAUCACUAAUCAAAAUAACUCAAAAAUGAAAUCUGAUUUCCAACAACAGUCACCACAAGAGAAGAAAAAAGAAUUCAUCCUAAUUUCUUUAUUCUCUUUAAACCCCCCAUUUUUGGUUCUGAAUCAAUCAAGCAAUAACCAUUUCUUCUUCUUCUAACGAAUUUGAUUCAAAAUCCAGAAAUUCGAUGAUCUAGAACCCAUAAAUUCCAUGAUUCAAAAACAAGAAUCUAUCUAUCUAUAUAUACAUGUAUUCUAACCUACAUUUUACCUAUGUGUAACCUCACAAACAUCCCCCUUUCUAACUAUUUCCUUACAUGCAUUCUCUCAUUAUAAGCAAGACUUUGCUUAUGUGUCACCUCACCAAUAAUUCUUAUUUCUUAUAUGAAUUUUAGUAUAUUAUAUGAAUGAAUGCAUUCUCCUAUGAAAGGGUUAUAAUAUUUAGUGUGACAUAAAUAUUUUUAAACAUGUAACUGCCACAAUCCUUCAAAACUAUGCAAUUUCUCAACAAAAAAAAACAUAUAUGCAACUGCUAAAUGCAGCCACGAGUUAUUGGCCAAAUGAAUUGUAAAUGAAUUGUGAUUCACUGAUUUGUGACUCCCAUGAAUUUAUUGUGGCAAUCUAUGUGCAAAUCCCAUUUACCAAAAAUCAUUUGCUAAUUUUUUAAUUAAUAAUUACCAAAACUUGAAUGAUUAUGGUGUAGUAAUGGUCAGUUACACAUCUUACUUAUUACCUUUAUUAUAAGCGGCUGACAAUUAUAUGGGUAACUCCUUUUUACCAAAAUUAUGUACCUUUAUUUCUUAUUGUAACUCCUUAUAGGUUACGGUUUUAAUAUAUCAUGCCACACAAAAGCAAUGGUCACAGUAAACAAGGUUCACAAUUUUUUUAUUUGUAUCACCAAGAAUGCAAUAUAAAUAUAAAUAAAUAAAUAAACAAAUUAGAAUUUAAUAGAAGUAAUGAAUAAUUUCGGCCAAAAUAUGUUCAUCCUUGGUUACAAUUUCAAUUUGUGCCUCUUCGCAUUCCUUCACAUAAAGCCUAAAAAUUUGUUACACUUUAAACCAUUUCAAUGACAGUAUUUCCCACACACCUAUAUAACCAGCAUUGGUGUCAUUCCUUUUCCACUCAUUCUGUCACAUCUAUCUGUGUAAUUUCAUUUCUUCCCACAUACUCUCUUUGCUUCCCUACCAUGUCUGCCAUUGAUGUCAUUGGAACCAAGUAAACCACUUUCUUGCACUUUUCCUCUACCAUGUUAAAUAAAACCUUUAAUCUAAUCUUUUUUCAUGUUCUUUACUUUUACAGGGUCGGAGAAGUCAACAACAAUGGUGUGCAUACCUUUCUCAACAAACUCUCCAAUGCUGCCCCUGAUACCAAGAUCAAAGUUAGGGUAGCACGCAUGUGGGACACGCUGAAUAUAACAAAAAAAAAGGAAAUAAUUAGUACAGAUAUGGUGCUAAUUGAUGAGAAGGUGUUUAUCAAUGAAAUUGCUAUAUUGUUGUUCCUUCGCAAAUAAUCUUUCUUUACUUACUAUUUACAAAUGCUUUCUAGGCAAAUUGCAUUCAUGCUACAAUACCAAGGAGGUUCUCACCUUCAUUGAAGAAAGUCUUGCAAGAAGGCAAGAUAUAUGUAAUUUCACACUUUGAGGUCUCAAAAAACAAGGAGAAAUAUGCUGUGGUUGAAAACAAUCCCUCCAUGCUUAGUUUCUAUGGUGACGCAAUUGUGACUGAGGAGGGCUCGGAUGACAACACAAUCCCUCGCUAUAUCUUUGAAUUUGUUAAUUUCAAUGAUCUUAUCAAACGUUGCGGGAAAGAGGUGUUGGCAGGUUGGUUUAGCAAAAUAUUAAAUUAUAUGUAAUACAAAUCUAUUACAUUGUGUAAAGAAUGUAACACUUUUGUUUCUCGACAGAUGUAAUUGGAUUUAUAAUUGAUGUGGAUCCAAUUGAGGAGAAAACAACCGUCAAUGGGAAAGUCGACAUGUUGUCACUUCAUUUGGGGGAUGGCAGGUGCAACAUAAUUUGUUCCCCAUGAUUUAAUUCUCAUUUAGUAGCGUAUAACACAUUUACCACAAAAAUCAAUUAACAAACUUUUUAAUCCUACGCAACUUUUGGCAGUGGGAAUGUCUUGAAGGUAACGCUAUGGGAUGACUAUGCUCCGAUGUUUAAUCAAAAACUGAUAGAUCAAAUGCAUGCUACUCCUAAGCCAAAUGUGGCAAUUUUUACCUCCACUUUGGUAAAACAAUACCAAGGUAACUGCUCAUACCAUGACAUUUAAUAUUCAACUUAAUUACCCUCUCCUCAACCACUCCAUAUGUGAUAUAUUUUUGUAGGUGAGCUUUAUGUUUCGUCUUCAAGAUCCACAACAAUUUAUAUCAACAUAGACACCCCUGAAGUUGCUGAUCUAAUUUUGUCGUCCAAGUGCGUCAUUUAACUCAUGUUUAAAUACUUAUGUUUAUAUUAUGUUGCCUAUUUUCUAAUUGUGUGUUGUUGCAUCGUUGUAGGGGGAAAAACAGUGUUUUGAAAACAACUGAAACUUUGUCUUUAACUAAUGUUGAUGUGAAGACCAUAUCUGAGCUUUUAUCCAUGGCAGUUUCGGGAGUUUAUCAGGUCAACACUUGGUUAAUUAUUCUCUAGACCUAUUUUUUAUUUCAUUAUCACAGUGUGUCAUACACUCAUACUUUCAACUUUACUUGCAGGGUGAUGUUGUCUACAAUUGUGUUGCAACAGUUGAUGACAUCCUGCUAAAAAAUGGGUUGUAUUAUGUUUCUUGCCCUCAUUGUAGGAAAACUGUGAGUUCCACUGAGACAGACUUCAAUUGUGAGCAUUGUACUAAAAAGGUCGACUAUCCAAAGAUUAGGUGAGUUCAUUUGAAGUAUUUUUUUUCCUUAUCACAUGGCCUUAAAUAUAUAUAUGUUGCUUGAAAUAAUUACAAUGAAUCUCUAUAGGUACCGUUUGGAACUUCAAGUCAACGACUCUACGGAAUCAACAAUAUUUGUGUUGUUUGCCGAAGUUGCUGAACAAUUGGCACAACUAAAGCUAGAUGACCUCACCCCGGAUUUAGAAAAUGUGUGUUACAUUAUAUCCUAAAUCUAAUAUGGUGUUUAUCGGUGUUUUUUUUUUAUUAUUGAAAAAAUAGAAUAAAAGUUGAUUGUUUUCUAAACUUACAUUCCAUUCCUUUUUGUUUGGAUAGCAGACUGGACGUGACUCUGAUCUGCCUAAACAGCUCCAGCAUAUCAUUGGUUCAAAGCAUAUUUUUCAAGUUAAGCUGAGCUCUUACUUUGAACGUCGUGGAGUACAAAGCUUCACUGCACAUAAGAUUCUGAAGCCAGUUGUUAAGGUGUUUAGUUAUAUCAUGUUUCCAUUCUUUUAUUCUUCACUGCUGGAAACCAUUAUAUACUAAAUUUUUGAUGUAAUUUAACAAAUAUCAGAUUGAGAAAGAAGACAACAUUGCCACUGCGUGUUCUUCCUCAAGUGGAUCUCUUACCAUUGAAAUACCAGAUUUGCCGAAGAAGAGGAGAAAAUUAAUGUAAGAUGUAUCAUUGUCUAAUGCAUUUAACCAUGUAUAUAUGUAAGCUAUAAAUGUGAGCUAAAAAAAACUUGCGGAUUUUUUCAGAUUGCACUCCAACAAAUCAGGUGAUAAGGACCAGAAUGAAGAUGUGGAAGAUUUAGAAGAUUGAGAAGUUGGCUGCUAAGGAUUUAAGAGGAUUUGCUUUUGAAGUUGUUUUUCAUGGUUUAGUUUAUGUUUCUCUAAUCAAUAGAGAUGUGGAUUUCAGUUUAUGUUUUUUUGAGGUUGUGUUUUUUUUUUUUUUGAGGACUUUGUCUUUUUUGUUUUUAACCUAGACUACAUUGUUGGUUUAUGUUUUUUGGAUGUUGUGUUUUUUUAAGAAUAUUUUCUUUGGAUCAAUGUUACUUUGACCUAAAUUAUAUUGUUGGUUUAUAAUGUUAUAUUGAGGGAUUUUGUUGUUUUUAAUGCUGACCUAUAUUUUGAAGACAAAGAUUAUGCAUCUAUAUGUUAAGGUGAAUGGUAAUCAUGUUUUCAUUCAUUUAUUGUUCACUUAAAAUAAUGAAAUACAUAAUUCUUAUGUGAUUUUACAAAUUUCAGAUUGAGAAAGAAUACAACAUUGACACUAUAUGUUCUUCCUCAAGUGGAUCUCUUGGCAUUAAAACGCCAGAUUUGCAGAAAUUAAUGUAAGAUGUAUCAUUGUCUAAUCAUUUAAGCGUGUAAAUAUGUAUGCUGAAACAACACUUGGAGAAUGAUAAAAAUUGCACUCUGGCAGCGAAUCAGGUGAUGAUGACAAGAUGGAAUAUUUAGAAGAUUGAUAGCUUGGCUGCUAGGGACAGAGGCAGAUGGAAUAUUUAGAAGAUUGAUAGCUUAGCUGCUAGGGAAGGAAGAAUGUUUGCUUUUGAAGUGCUUUGCAUUGUUUGGUUAAGGUUCCUCUAAUAAAGUUGUGGAUUCCAACUAUGUUGUAUUUUGAAAACUCAUGUUCCCAUGUCGAGGAUGUUAAAAAUAUUAUUUCCUUUUGAAGUGCUUAGCAUUGUUUAGAAAACUAAUUGUAUUUAGUAUUUUAAGCUUUGCAUUGUUUGAAGUGCUUUUCAAACUAAUUGCAUUUUUAAUAUUAAUUUAUAACAAGAGGAACAUGAGAACUGUUUUUUAUGAUAUAGUCUUUUCAAUUAUUUUUCUUUGGCCUAAAUUACAUUAUUGGUUAAUGUUUAUUUACAAGUUUGUUGGUUUAUCUGUUUUUCAUCAUAAAUUUACUGAAUCUAAUGCCAUAAUAAUUACACAAGUUGUAUUGAGACAUAUCAAAUUAACAAUGACACAAAUAUAGAUAGAUAGGUUCUUCCUCAAAAAAAAAAAAAAAAAAAAAAGGAUAAAUAAGUUUUUUACAUGGGCCAACCAAAAUAAAAUAAAAUACUAACUUAAAUAUUAACAAAAAGUGCUAAUCUUUAUUAAGAUCCUAUUAUAUUCUUUAUACGUAACUAUAAAUUACUACCACGUUAAUACCCAAAAAAAAAAAUAUUAUUACCUUUUGCCAAAUAACUAAUAAAAUACAAAUACUCCAUCAAUGUUAUUUGAGCUCAAUUCCAGUUGUGAGUUCUUACAUUAACAUGUGAUAGACAAAGGGUGUGUUAGUUAUUAUCCUUAUAUUAUUAUAUACUAUACUAUUUUUUUAGACCAUUUAAUUAUGGUUGAUGUACCACAUAUUGAAAGAUUUAUAAUUAAAAUUUACAUUUCAAAAAAUCAAAGAAUAUAAAACAUAGUGAAAUGUAAUUAUACUUUCCUCAACUUAGGCAUAAUAUUGAUAUAUAAAUAAGUAACUAAUAUUUACAAGUUUUUUUCCAAUGACGUUAUAUUUAUAUCUAAAAGCAUGAAAUAAUAUAAACAUGUUCAAUUUUAUAAUAAUAAUGAUAAUAAAAUAUUAUUGUUCUUUUUGUUGAAAUCAAAUUAGUUCUACAUUAGCACACAAAAAAGGAACAUAGACAUACUAAUGAAAGAUAAAAAAGAAAAAUUGUCCUUUGAGUAGAAGUAGCACACCUAUUUCAGCACAAAAAAAUAAAAAUAUACAGCUACCUAGACAUACUAAUGAUCAUCGUAUUAAUUACUUAUUAUUAUUAUUAUUAUUGUUAUUAUUAUUAUUGUUGUUGUUGAUGUAUCCAUUAAUUUUUGUAACAUAUCAUAUUAUUAGAUAUCAAUUUUUCAUCUGCAUAACAUAAAAAAUCAUAAAUGUUGCAUAAAUAAUAAAUGCGUACAUGUAUUCUAAGCUACAUUUUCCUUACAUGUCACCUCACCAAAGCUCUCCCUUUGUAACCAAUCUCUCAUACUUAUGCCAUGUGGCUCUCUAUUUCAUUUUUUAGCUUUUUUCUUUCAUUAUUAUUAUUUUUUGGUAGAAUCAUUCAUCUAUUUACUACACAUUUAUUUGUAUAUAAUAUUGAUGUUGAUACAUAUUCAGAUAGUUCUUCUAUUAUGUAACUUCUAUUAUGUAACUGUCAAUUGUUCCACCGUCCAUCUUCUUUUAUUUUAUUCAGGUUUUUAAUUUAUUAGCUAAAACAAUAGGAUCAGAUGAACACAUAGUCGUAUUUCAACAUUCAGAGGUGCUAUUUCUAAAAAAGUUAUUUCAUUGAGCAGAGGUGCUAGGAUUAGAUCAUCGUUUUAUUUUUAUUGUUUUUUUUUUUUUCCCCGUCCAUCUUUUUUUUCUUCUAUUUUCUACAUGAUCUAUAUAUUUAUUGACUUCUUUAUCAUAUAAAUUGAUGUGGCUUUGUAACAUCAAAUUCUCAUACAAUAUCAGCAACUAAAACAUUCAUGUCACAGUUCCUUCUUUCGCUGCUUAUAUUGUUGGUUCCUACUCAUGCAAACAAUCAUGUCAAGAUUAUAUAAUAUUGUAGUUUAGCUUCAUGAUUACUUACAUGUUCAGCCAUGGUUGCCGCCUCUUACAUUCUCACAUCCAAUCAGAAUACUUUGCUUCUCUGUUCUCACAUCUAAACUGAACCGCUGACACCUGUGUUCUCUUUCUUCAACCUUCAUUCCUUUCUCGCGUCUCACCACCCCUGCGUUCAAUACGACAACCUCCGUUAUUUCUAUUUUCGUUGUAAAUAUAUGUUUUGUUUUUAUUCUUUAAUCAGUAAAGAAACAUGAAUCAAAGUUCAGGUAUAGUAUUUCAGACUUCUUUUGGAUUCUCAUAUAUCAAAUGAUCAACAUUUUUUACACACAUUAACAUCUAAACCAUCUCAUGUAUCUAUGCUAUGGUCUACAUAUGAAGUAAUUAAACUUACAAUUUUACAAAUAUUAAUUUCAUAAUAGUCAUGUCAUACAUAAUGCUUCUAUUCUUAUUUUUUUAUUGUUUAAUGUAUACCAUAAACCAGUAAAUGCUACAGAACAUGUUGAGGUAGCGACAUCGGAGAAACACAACAAAAGAAAGACAAAUACAAUGAAUAUCAACGACACAUCAGAGAGGCAUAACAAAAGAAAAAGAUAUGCGAUAAAUAUCAGUGACCCACUAGAACUCCAACAAAAAAAUGGUUAGUCGAAGCUAUUUGGUGGACUCAUUUUAUAUUUGUUACAUUAUCUAUGUUAUUAAAUUGUUAAUUUUUAUAUUUUUGCUUUUAAUCUGUUCCAUUUUAUAAUUCCCAAUAAUAAAAACAGAAUAUCAACACAAACAAAAACUUGCUGGGUUUCGACAAGCCAGGUUGAAUAGGAAGCAAAUGCUCAGUUUGAGGCGGAAUAAAGGAAACAUUGCUGCAUUUUUCGGUGAAAUAUAAAAUUUAGGACAUACACAUGGAUUAUUAUAGCUCAUGCUUUAUAAAAACUCACUAACGUUAUGGCCUAACGGCCAACUUAUUUUCAUUACUUAUGUUGUAUGCACUUACUCUUUGUCAGGAGACACUUACCAACAGUGUAACGUAGGCACAUCAACAACCCAAGACAUUAAUAGCAAUACUGAAAACGUUUGUGCCACGUUUGAGCUCCGACACACAAGUGGUUGGUUUUAUGCAUUUCAUUUAUCAAUUUAACAUUUAAACAACUUAAAAUAUUUUACUUUCAAUCUUCUUAUUUUUAAUUGGUUCCAUUUUAUUGUUCUUAAUGUUGUAAACAGAAGAACAAAAUAUACAACGGCUUGCAGGGUUUAAACAAGCCAGAUUAAAAAGGAGACAAAUCCUUGAUUCAAGGCGCCGUUGCCCCACUUUUGCAGCAUCCAUAGGUGAGAACAAAAUAAGAACUAAAUAAUUCAUGAGUCAUACAUACUAACUUUGUAACUGUUCUAACAUUUUCCAAUUCUCGGUACAUUCGAGGUGUCACAUCAACACCACAAAAUAUACAACGCCCUUGCGGGGUUUAAAUAAGCCAGAUUAAAAAGGAGGCAAAUCCUUGAUUUAAGGCGACAUAGACCCACCUUUGCAACAUCCAUAGGUAAAACCAAAAAUAAAACUAAAUAAUUCAGAGUCAUACAUAUUAACUUUGUAACUGUUUUAACAUUUUCAAAAUGUUGGUACAUUGGAGGUGUCACAUCAACAGCACAAGACAGUAAUAGGAAAAAUGAAAACGUUUGUAGCACUUUUGAACUACGACACACAAGUGGUGGGUCUUAUGCAUUUCAUUUAUCAAUUUAACAUUUAAACAACUUCAAAUAUUUCAUUUUAAACUUCUUAUUUUUAAUUGGUUUCAUUCUAUUAUUCUUAAUCUUAUAAGCAGAAGAACAAAAUAUACAACGAUGUGCGAGAUUUAAACUAGCCAGAUUCAAAAGGAGGCAAAUCCUUGAUUCAAGGCGACCUAGCCCCACAUUGGCAGCAACCAUAGGUGAAGAAAAAUAAAUAAAACUACAUAGUUUUUAAUUGUUCUAACAUUUUUCAAUUCUCGAUACAUUCAAUGUGUAUUUGGUGGAAUAUUUAUGAUAAAUUAUAUUUUUAAAUUAAUUUUCAUAUAUAGUUCAUGAUAGUUUAAAUUAUAUUUAAAUUAAAUCUUAGAAAAUUAAUUUAAAAUUUAUCAAAGACUUUAAUUUAAAUAAAUAAAAAUCUAACAUUUACUACUUCUAUUACAUCUGCUUACUCUUCGACAGGAAAUAAGACAUCCAAACCCAUAACAACACAUAAAAGGACAAAUACCAAAAGUAUUCACAGUACACAUCGAAUCCAACACAAAAGUGGUUAGUGUUAUCUCUUUGCAUGACCAAUUUAAUAGUAGCUUAUAAUAUUUAAAUACAAUAUUUAAAUGCACAAUGAAACCAUCAUAGCUGCAUUUAUUACCUUUUCUGACUCCCGGUGCUUAAGACUCUAAAAAACGACUAACGUGAACUGAUAAUAUUCGAUAUAUAUACUCUCAACAGGAAACAACAACCAACAAACUGGGUCAGUCGCAUCUAGAACACACGACAGAAGGAUGAAUCCAACAAAUGGUUAGUGUGGCUUAUUUCUUUAAACAACUUAGCAUUGCAAAAACCAAUAAUCUUUCACUUUAAAAUCUCAUUUGCAGACCAUGUCCAAACUUAUAUGGAUCUCGGCCAUCCAAAUUUUGAAUGCGAAAAAUGUGGAAGCACAAUGUGGUAUAAUGAGAGAGCUGAUAAACCACGUCGACCAAGGAACCCAACAUUCUCUCUUUGUUGCCUGAAAGGGGAUGUCUCCCUAGAGUUUUUAGAGCAACCACCAGACUACUUGAAGGAACUUUUAGCUUACAAAGGUGGCAGACACUCCGUUAAAUUUAGAGAAAAAAUACGGGCAUAUAAUUCUAUUUUUGCAUUCACAUCCAUGGGUGCUAAAAUAGACAACACAGUGAACUUACGUCCAGGCCCAUAUGUGUACAAAAUUAGUGGUCAAAACUAUCAUAGAAUUGGUGGACUCAUACCUGGCCAAGGAAAACAACCUAAAUUCUCCCAGCUUUAUGUCCAUGAUACGGAGAAUGAGAUCCAAAAUCGAUUGAGUUCGCUGAAUGGUGGGAAGACUGCACGAGACCUUGAUGCAGAUAUUGUCCGGCGCCUAAAGGAUAUGCUCGACAUGAAUAAUUCUGUAGCCAAAUUAUUUAGAAUGGCAAGGGAUAGAUUAUCUGCACCGGACAACAAAGAAGUUCGCAUAAGGUUGAUUGGCACAAGAUCAAAUGAUUCAAGACAAUAUACAACACCUACCGCAACAGAAAUUGCUGGUCUCAUUGUUGGAGAUUUUGGUGAAUCAAAUGGACGAAGAGAUAUAGUUAUUGAGCAUAAAACAGAUGGCCUGCAGAGAAUAAAAGAAUAUCAUCCAAAAUUCAUGGCAAUGCAAUAUCCUCUGUUAUUUCCAUAUGCUGAGGAUGGAUUUCACCUAGACAUUUAUUAUUCUCAAAAUCAUGCAAAAAGAAAGAAAAAGAAAAAAAGAAAAAAAGUUACCCUGAGAGAAUAUUAUGCUUACCGGAUACAACAGAGGCCCUGUGAAGCAAAUACUCUUAUUAUUGGUGGUCGACUGUUCCAACAAUACGUUGUUGAUGCAUUCACGGCAAUAGAAGAAGAGCGACUGCGCUGGGUUAGACAGAAUCAAACAGUGUUGCGUACGGAUCUGUACAGAAAUGUAUGUGAUGCAGUUGUGCGUGGAGAUACAAUAGCUGCUGCUACUGGGAAGAGAAUCGUUUUGCCAUCUUCUUUUACAGGUGGCCCUCGAUAUAUGGUUCAAAACUAUCAAGAUGCCAUGGCCAUAUGCAGGACAUUUGGAAAUCCUGAUAUCUUCAUGACAUUUACUGCUAAUCCAAAGUGGCCAGAGAUUCAAUACAUGCUUCAGAAAAUACCAGGUCAAUCUGUCGAUGAUAGACCGGACAUCAAGACAAGAGUUUUUAAAAUGAAACUUGACCAGCUAAUGAAACACAUAGUGGAGGGGCAAUAUUUUGGUAAAAUUAUAUCAGGUAAAAGUACAUGGAAUAAAUGUUCUCACAUUCUAAAAAAAAAAAAAAUUAAAGAUCAAUUUGAUUCAAAUUGUUUAUUCAAUCUAUAUGAUACAUACAUGUUAUACUAAUAAAGAUUUGUUUUUUUUCUCUCUUUUCAAAUUGACAGCCAUUUAUACCAUAGAGUUUCAAAAAAGAGGUCUGCCACAUGCACACAUACUAUUAUGGUUGCACCCAAGCAAUAAGUAUCCCACCCCGGAGGAUAUAGAUAAGAUUAUUACUGCAGAAAUGCCAUCUAAGGAAGAUGAUCCAGAAUGUUUUAAUGCGGUAAAACAGUUCAUGCUGCAUGGACCGUGUGGAGAUGCAAAUAUAAAUGCACCUUGCAUGAUUGAUGGUAUUUGUAGUCGAAAAUUUCCCAAAAGUUUUUUCGAUGAAACAACAAUAGAUAGAGAUGGGUUCCCGACGUAUAGAAGGAGGGACGAUGGAAGACAUGUGAAAAAAGGAGAUAUCAAUUUAGACAAUCGGUAUGUGGUUCCAUACAAUCGAGGUUUGUUGCUGGCAUUUCAAGCACAUCUAAAUGUUGAAUGGUGCAACAAGUCAAGGGCCAUAAAGUACCUAUUUAAAUAUCUUCACAAGGGCCCAGAUAGAGCAAUAAUGGUAAUAGAAGAUAAUGUUUUGGGCAACAGAAGCACAAAUGCAACUCAUAUAACAAUGGUUGAUGAGGUCAAAACAUUCUUGGAUUGUAGGUACGUCAAGGUAGUUAUAGGGAAUACUCUAAUAAUGAUCACAAUGAAUUUAUAACCAUUUCAUCUUUUAUGCAUUAUUCAUUGUAGGUAUGUAUCGGCAUGUGAAGCAUGUUGGAGGAUAUUCAAUUUUGACAUACACUACAGAAAUCCGGCUGUUAUGAGAUUGAGCUUUCAUUUGCCAGAAGAACACUCAAUCACUCUAAGAGAUUCAGAGCAAUUGUCAGACGUAAUUUCAAAGGAAGGAGUUGAACAUACUAUGUUUACAGAAUGGAUGCUAAUGAAUUCAAUGAGCUCGGAAGCACGUACAUUAACGUAUUCUGAGUUUCCCAAAAAAUUUGUUUGGGACGAGACAAAAAAAAAGUGGAAAAAACGGAAAGCUGGAAGAACAAUCGGAAGAAUUUAUUAUGCACAUCCAACUAGCGGGGAGAAAUAUUACCUCAGAAUUUUACUGAAUAUUGUUCAUGGUCCAACAAGCUAUGAAGAAAUAAAGACAGUGGGAGGGGUGACUUAUCAGACAUUCAAAGAAACAUGUAAUGCUCUUGGGCUAUUGAAUGAUAACAGAGAGUGGAAUGAUGCAUUGAAUGAAGCAUCACAGUGGGCCACAGGCACUCAAUUAAGAGAGUUAUUUGUUACCAUUUUGCUUUAUGGAGAAGUGGCAGAUAUAGGGAAACUAUGGGAAACUAAUUGGAAAACGUUGUCUGACGAUAUUGUCUACAAAAAGAGAAUAUUGUUUCAACACUCCAGAUUGGAGCUUAAUGAUGAACAGAUUCAAUCAUACUGCUUGAUUGAAAUUGACAAGAUUUUGGUUCGUGCUGGAAGUUACCUUUCUGAUUUUGAUGGAAUGCCGUUGCCAAAUAGUGAAUCCUUUGAAGCCACGGAAAACCGACUUAUUGUGGAAGAGCUUAGUUAUAAUGUUGAUGACCUGAAAAAAGAACACGAAAGAUGUCAUCCAUUGUUGAACGAACAGCAGAUUGAUAUAUAUAAUAAUGUUAUAAAUGCUGUCAACACUAAUAUUGGUGGACUCUACUUCGUGUAUGGCCAUGGAGGGACUGGCAAGACUUUUCUAUACAGAACAAUUAUUGCAAAACUCAGGUCAGAAAAAAAGAUAGUACUUGCUGUUGCUUCUUCAGGUAACCCAUCACUUUUUCAAUCCCUUAUAUAAAUUUACAUGUUGUCUAUUUGUACUUAUAAAUAUGUCAGUCCAUACACCCUUAUUUCUGCGCUUCAUUGCAAUAUUUAUUGUACAAAUUACUAUAUGUACCAAAUUAGCAACUAUUAUAUGCUAUAAUCUAUCUAAUAUUAUAUGCUUUUCUUCUACACAAAAUAUAAAAAAAAACAUACAAUUUUUAUUCAAAUAUAUAAAUAUAUAUAUAUAUAUAUAGAUAGAUAGACAUAGACACACACAUAUGCUUGCAUGCAUAAAUAUAUUUUCAAUUUUUUUUUUAAUUUCAUUCUUGACAGGUAUUGCAUCCCUCUUGCUUCCUGGAGGAAGGACCGCUCAUAGUAGAUUUAAAAUUCCUCUUGAGAUCUAUGAAGACAGCACAUGCUCAAUAAACCAAAAUACUCAUCUAGCUGAUCUAAUGGUUCAAACAGAUCUCAUAAUCUGGGAUGAAGCACCAAUGACUCAAAGAUAUGCUUUUGAAGCUCUUGAUAGGACACUUAAAGACAUAAUUGGUUUCAAAUUUCCGGAUAGGGCAGAGCAACCAUUUGGAGGAAUGACAGUUCUUCUUGGAGGAGAUUUUAGGCAAAUACUUCCUGUAAUACCAAAAGGUCGAAUACAUGAUAUAAUUCAAUCAUGCAUCAACAAGUCUUUUUUGUGGGACUACUGUACAAUAUUUUCAUUGUCCAAAAGCAUGAGGGUCAGAAAUACUACCUCUACAGGCAAAGAACAUGAUGUGAUACGUGAAUUCAAUAAAUGGCUACUUCAACUUGGUGAUGGAAACAUUCAAGCACAAAGCCGACGUGGUGAAGAUUUUGCAUCGUGGACGACGAUACCAGAUCAAUAUCUUAUCCCACCAAUGGGUGAUCCACUCAAACAAAUUGUGGAUAACACUUACCCAGAAUUAAAGAGCCAUCUGUGGGAUGAAGAAUAUUUCAGGGAAAGAGCAAUACUCACUCCUCUAAAUGAAACAGUUGAUGAAAUCAAUAAUUAUAUUGUUCAGUUUACUGAUGGAGAAACAAAACAAUACAGAAGCUCAGACGAGAUUGACAAGACAACUGACAACAUAUCAGAUCAAGAGCUCAUGUAUCCUGUGGAAUUUCUAAACUCCUUAAAUAUUAAUGGAUUUCCAAGACAUUGUUUGGAGCUUAAAGAAGGAAUGCCUAUUAUGUUAUUGAGGAAUAUCAAUCCGGCAUUAGGAAUGUGUAAUGGAACAAGACUUAUUAUUACGCAUCUAGGAGAGCGAGUAAUAGAGGCUAAAAUAAUUACAGGAUCUAACGUUGGUUCAAAGGUGCUAAUCCCCAGAAUUGUUCUUACUUCUAACGACUCUAAAUGGCCUUUUCUGUUGCGCAGGAGGCAGUUUCCAAUUAAGGUGUGCUAUGCAAUGACAAUAAACAAAAGUCAAGGCCAGUCAUUAAAUUAUGUGGGAUUAUAUUUGCCAAGACCUGUAUUUAGUCAUGGACAACUAUAUGUUGCCUUUUCAAGAGUCACUUCCCCAGAGGGACUGAAAAUUCUAAUUGUUGAGCGUGAUGAGAAUUAUGUACAAUACACGAAAAAUGUAGUGUACCAUGAGGUAUUUAGUGGUCUUCCUCAAUGUAAAUAUAUUUGAUGCACUGUUUUCAAAUCUAUCUAUCAUUCACAAUAACUUUAGCAACUACGUUAUUCAUUGUUAACUAACACACUUCGAUUUGUACCAUUGAUUUUUUACAAUAAUAACCGCGAAUCCCAAGUAAUCGGACUUUUUAUAACAGAAUUUAAACUUCAGAACCUUAAUAAAGUAAAAUCCUACAAACACAACAAUAACCAUUUGAAUCGUUUCAAUGGUGAAAAAACUUAUUAAUGGUUACAACCGUAAGUUUCUAUCUACACAUCAACUAAUAGCAUAAAUGGUUCCAAAUGAGCAGCCAAUGUUAAACCAAUAACUAAAAUUAUCAUAUCAAUUGAUCAAUGUACCUUAUACGAAGCAGCCCACUACUAAUUGGCAAACACUAUCGAUCCUUUAACUCACAUACCUAAAAAAAAAACAUUUUAUCAACAAUUACAAAACUGAACUGAGUUCAACAAAUUGAAACUAAAUCCAAAACAAAAUUUAAUAUAAGUAACAUGUGUACAACAAUAGUAGGAGGAUGAUUGUCGCCGAACUCGGUAACGAAUUCAACAGACAGCUCAACGGAAACUAACCCAGAGAUGAAGAACAAAAUAUUCAAAUGUUUACAUUUUAAUAGUUUCUACAUUUUAAUAUAACCAUUUUAAUAGUUUCAUUGGUGGAAAAACUUAUUAAUGGUCAAAACCACAAAAAAAAAAAAAAAAUAUCAAAUUUACGCAUAAAUGGUUCCAAAUGAACAACCAGUGUUGAAUCAAUGACUAAAAUUAUCAUAUCAUUUUAUCAAUGUACCGUCUAUGAUGUGUUCCACUGCUAAUUGCCAAACAACUUCCAUAGUUGAACUCACAUACCUAAAACAAAUAACACAAUUCAUCAACACUGACAAAAAUGAACAGAGUUCAACAAAUUAAGAAUACAUCGAGAACAAAAUUGAAAAUAACUAAAAAAAUGUGUAAAACAAUAUCCCGAUCUCACUACCGGAUUCAAGUUGGGCCUCAACCGAAAAAACCCACAAACAAGAACAAAAGAUAAAGAAGAAGACAACUGACAUCACCUUCUUCUCGGUGCUCAACGGUUCUGCGAUUGAACCGUCGUUCGUUCACUCGACAUCAACGAAGAACCAUCUCGGAUAAUAACACUGCUGGCAUCAGAAAUAGGCACAAAGUGUUAUCUGAGGAUUAUCUGCAGAAAGUUGCUUCUAUUGGUGUCAGAAAGAAGCGUUCGUCUCAUCAACAUCAUUCUUUUGGAACGAGUAGUGAUAAAAAGGAACGAUCCAACGAUGUCUUGAAAGUGGUCAAAAUAAUACGUAGAGAUAAGAACCAUAACCUGUCAAAGGAAAAUUUGCUGCAUCAACAGAAAACGAAUAAUAGGUUGCGAAUUGUUGUCCAUGGAGGAGAUGGAUUGUUUGAAACAUAUAGGCUUUCGAAAUCUCAAUUUGAUGGGGAGGAUGUAACUUUCAACUCAAGAAUUUCUGUAACGAUUAUCAAGAAUAUAGGCUUAAGAAGAAUUGCUUUUUUUGAAACAUAUAGGCUUUCGAAGAAUUGCUUUGCCUUUCCAAAUUAUCGAGGAUUGCCGUGUUCAUCUUGGUUGAAAGGAGUUUAAAAAAUUCACGUUUUUAGGGAUUCAGUUGUGUUCUCUUUUCUUUCAAAAUCACUUUUAUGUUUAAAUAUAAAAAAAUUCCUUUUUAUUUUAUAUUGUUCGUAACUUUUCCUUCUUUUUUUUAAACAAAAAAAUUAAAAAUCUUACUCUUUAAUUUUGAUUAGAUAUGUUAUUAAUAACUUUUUAUUUUUUAUUCAAUCAACUACUACUUCAGUAUGAAAUUAUAACACUUUUUGAUAAAAACAAAAAAAAAAAAAAAAAACCCUUUUCAUAUUUUCGACUAACAAAAAUGCAUCCAAGUUUUUACCCUUUUUUUUUUGUGAUAGUCCAAGUUUUUACCUUAAAAAUAUGGACCUACAAACCAUUAAUUUUAUUUUUUUGAUCAGUAAACAUCUGAUUUUUUGGAACUGAAGAACUUUAAUUGCGGUCAAAUAUAAUCUUUAAUGAUGGAAUCAAUUUUUUUAUUAAAGAACUCAAUUUUUAAUAUACUUGAUAUCAUUGUAUCAUUUACUUUAAAUAUUUGCUAAAAUAAUGUUAUUUUAAAAAUAUAAAAUGUCCAACAUUUUUUUUAUAUAACUAAAUAAUGAUCUGAUGCAUCAACUAAAACAAUUUAAUCAAACCCGUGCAACGCACGGGUUGUAUCCCUAGUUAAUUAAAUGAAUUCAAAACCCAGAAAAGGAAAGAAAAAGGGAAAGAAGAAGAAAAGGAAAGAAAAAGAAAUGAAAACUGUUAAGUUAAUGAAGAAAAUUAACGAAAAGGAAAGAAGAAGAAAAAUGGGAAAGAACGAGAAUGAGGGGAAGAGGAAAAAAAGAAAGAAAAAGAAAAGGAAGAAAUGAGGAGAAAGAAGAAAUUUUUUUGGGUUGGUAUGAAAAAUGGAGGAAAAAUUAUGUUGAAGAUGAUUAAGAGGAGGAUGAAGAAUGGAGGAAAAAUUAGUUAAUAAAUGGUACACUAUAAGAUAGAAUAGACAUGCACAAUCCAACGAUCCUCUUUUUAACUAAAAUAUCAAAUGGUUAAAAUUAAAAAACUUAGUAAGGUCUAUGGUGGACCACCUAUAAUGUUGGUUCACCUUAGACAUUUAGUGUUAAAAACAGACGGAAGUGUCCAAAAUGGUAAACGACAGAAGAGUUAUGGGACCAAAUUGAGACACUUUAUAGUUAAAGGAUCAAAAUAAAAAUAAAAAAUAAGUUAAGGGACCAAAUCAUGUAUUAAACCAAAAAAAAAAUGUAGGCUGUGUCGAGUGAAUGGAAAAAGAGCAGCUGCAAAGAGAGUGAUUGGUUGUAAAGGGGGAGAGAAAAAGCAUAAUCCAGUGGUUUGUCACUAAAGAUAUCAUGUACCCUUUUUUUAUCUAACGGUCAAUUUAAACGGUACACCGGUGAGGGACUUAAUAGAGCCCUCACCCUAGAAUCAAUUAUAAAUAAUAACUUAGUUUUGAUUCUUUUUACUUUCUUUUCUAUUAAUUCAUUCAUCCACUAAAACACAGAGACAUUGUCUCAGAUUUGCAAGAAUCUUGAAUGGAUUGUGUGUACGUUGGCAGGGAUAGUAGCAUUUAUCACAUGAAAUUGUCUUUACAGUUUGUUUGGAUUUACGAGUGAAGAAGUUUUCUCUUUAAUUCCAACCGGAAGUGGUGACCGGAAACUCAUCCAAGGUGGCGUGCGGUGGCUCGCCGGUGUAGGAAGAAAGGCAUACAGGCUAAAGUUUUAACUCAAAUUGAAGGUUGAAAAACAUACUUCUGGAAGAAAAAACAUACUCCGUCCCAAACAUGUUUAAGUUUUAAUUGUUCUGAAGAAAAAAAAAACGAUAUUGGGAUGGCAGGUUUGAUGUUGGUGGUGGUGGGUUAGUGAGGCAUGAAGAAGAAAUAAUAGUGUUGAAGAUGGUGUAGAAGAAUAAUAUGGUGCUGAGAGACUAUGAUAAAUGUGUAUACUUUAUUUGAUCAAAUAACUUUUCCAUGGUGGAAAAGUUUUACCCUUUCCCAUGUUAAAUGCCACACGAGGACAAGUGUACAAUGGCAAUCUAUUUUACUACACUCUUUUUUUCUGCACAAGGACAAAUUGUGACGUUUGAUGUUCAGCUUCAUAUAAAUAUGAAAGGAGUUUGUCGAACAUUUAUCAUGCCUAAAUAUCCAAAUAUGCACCUACGAUUGACAUAAACCAAACCCAAGACUACCAACCAAGAUUAACCUAAACAAAACGACGUGGUUUCUUAACUCUACCAGUAGUGGGUGCAGACUUACGUGCAGCCUAAAGGAACCGAAAAAACCAAAAAAAUUAACCAAAUAUAUUCAAUCACCAUAAUGCAAAUAACAUUCAAUGAUUAUGAAUAUGAUGGAUUCAAAAACUCACCUUGGUUGCAAGUUGCUUCCUAGGUGCCUUUCCACCAGUAGCUAAGCGAACAUGAGCGAGAGUUAGUGCUCCACAAAUUGUUUAAAUUAUGCUUUUGGAUUUGUUUAAAAUUAUCCUCUAGUUGGAUUUUUUUUUUUGGCUAUGUAAUAUUUAAGAACAUGGAAUGCCAAAGGAAUUUGAUUAUAGUUCAAUUGGUGACGAUCAAAAGUUGUGAAAGUUCAUAUUCUUCGGUCAUUGAUAAACAAUUUGUUGGACAAUAUUCAAUACAGUUACCACAAAAAAUACAAAUUUCGAAAUCAAUACUGUAAUUUAGCAACUGUUUCUUUCGAAUAUCAAUUUAGCAAUUGUUUCUUUUGAACACAUACUUCACAAGCAAUGCAUUUAUCAAAUUCAAAAUGGAUUCAACCGCGGAAACGUUCCGAUGUGAUUAAUUUUUCAUAAGGAUAUUGAAAAGUUACAGGUAAACGAUUUGCGUGAGAUAAGAUAAUCAUGAAACUUUGAUCAAUGUACCUUGCAGCUCAGACUGUUUGUUGACCAUAAUUCAUGAUUUAUGACUUGUUAAUUGUAACACCCCGUUACCCAAAGCAAUAAAAUAGCAUAUAAACAUCAGAGUAAUUCCACAAACGGGCAUGCUACAUUGCAAAUUCAAAAUUCUUAAAUAGAAAAUAAAACUAUUUAGUUCAACAUCAUUCAUAACUUCAAUAAUUAUGCAGCGGAAAGUUUUGCAUUUCAAUAACAACCACAACAAUUUAAAUCUCCAACAAUAUCCUGACAUUAAGCCUAAACAACAAAAGUCAAACAACAAAGGGCCCCAUCGUUAAGUUCCAAAAAUUGAUACAUAGGAGGAAAACAACAAUAAAAUAAUAUAAAUGCUCCCAUCCCACGUAUCAAAGCCCUAGACACGACAAUGAGCCACCACCAACUACUCAGGAUCACCUGCAAGUUACCCAUAGGAAGGGCAACGUUUUCAAGCAGAAGGGGUGAGAUUCACAACAAUAAAUAUAGAUUUUAAAAAUCAUCAAAUGAAUCUAACACCCUAAUCAACAACACAUUAUCUUGUAAACAUAUAUUUGUAUAAGUCACAAGCAACAACAACAUCAACAAUACACCAUAAUUACGGUGAAUAUAAAUAUAUAUAACACAUAUUCAACACCAACAUCAUCUAUCAAAUAACAACUGAAACCAACAACCAAAACUCAUGCAAAUGACAUGACCACUGCUAAAACACCAUCUUAGACUUCUUAAUGAAAUGCAAUUAUGCAUGUGGUACCAAUCAGGACCGGAGCCCUCACCGCUUUUGAAUGGUUAAAGCAUUCAUCAGGACCGAAGCCCUCACCGCUGUUGAGCAACUAGUACUCCAGGACCGAAGCCCUCACCGCUGUUUUAUGCAUAUGCAAUGGACCUACUUGUGUAUAUCUACAUACAACUGACCAUGCAAUGCAACUCCAUGUGACUCCAAUUAAUACAACAUGUAUGAUUAAUAAUUAAAACAUACAAUGCAUUCCUCAUCAUCAAUCAACAUCCAACAGAGAUUCAACCAUUCAGAAUGAUGUAUAAUUAAAUAAAAUUAUGCUUAAACAACAACACUUAAACCUUAUCAAUCAAGCAAGCAAAACUGCACUCAAAACUGCACUAGCUCGCCUCGCGAGCACAUCUGCUCGCCAUGGCGAGUUCACAAAACACUAGCUCGCCAUGGCGAGUUCAAGGCGAACUCGAGGCGAGUGAAAAUCAGGUACUCUCGGGAAAAAGUGACAUUUCCUCACUCAAACUCCAAUUCUAAGCUCCCUAUUCAUCUUUCUAACCUAAAACUUCCACCAUUCAUCAUUAAAAUCAUCUAGGUACCUUAAACCAUCCCCAAAACAUCUUAUAACAACUUUUCAAAAAUCAGGUUUUAAUCUGGGCUACUCGCCAUGGCGAGUUGGAUUGCUCGCGAGGCGAGCUAUGAAGUUGCUCACUCGCCAUGGCGAGCACAGCUACUCGCGAGGCGAGCGAUGAACUUCUGUACGGGCAGAAAACUGGUUUUACCCAAAAAUCCCAUUUUUCUUCCAAUCACUCCCCAAAUCAGUUUACAGAUGCAAAUUAACUUUCUGUAUGCACUUAGAACCUAUUUCUAACAUCAAAUUCAUGCUUACAACUUCAAAACUACAAUUUCAUCAUAAAACCCAAAAUCCCCAAUUUCUACCAAAACCUGUUAAACUCAAAAUCAGACUUUAAAUUCUACACCAUUGAAGUAAACCCCACCCUUACCUUAAUUCAGAAUGAAAAAUGCACCGCAAAAAGGGUUCCUCUGGUUCUUCUCUCUUGCUCCUGGUUUUCUCUUCCUUGGCUUGGUUUCACGUAAAACUGUUUCUGACUCCCACUUUCUAUUUUCUUAACUUCCCACUUAAGAGUAACUCCCUCCUAAUUACACUUAACUCCCCCAAAUUCCUAAUAACUCCAAUUAAUUCCCCAAACACCAAAAUAAUUAAUAUUUCAUACUUAUUUUAAUUAUUAUUAAAUAAACCAUAUAAUAAAAUAAUAUACCAUAUAAAUCACCCAAAAUCAUACAUAUAAAUAUAAGCAUAUGCAUAUACUCCACAUAAAUCACCAAACCAUCAUAUAUAAAUAUAUAUAUACUCCACAUAGUUUAAAAUUAAUUAAAUAAAUAAUUAGGGCGUUACAUUAAUGCCCCAUAGUUGAGUUGCUUUUUUGCAUAUAUAAAUACUUCUGCACUUGUAGUUUAAUGACUUAUUAUGCGUUAUUUGAUGGUAUUUUUAAGAAUCAAUCCGCGUCUCUUUACUUUUUUACUUUGUUCUGCACAUAACAAAUUCAAGGACUUAUUUGAUGAUAUUUUUAUAUAAUGUAGGGAUCGAAUUGAAAUAGACAAAUAAUUUAAUGACAAACUUGAUGAAAAUAUUUUGACAGAAAUGUUGCUUUGAUUCAUCUUCAACCUCUUUUCAUAACAACAUUACACACGCCUAGUAUAAUACAGUAACAUGUUAAACUUAAGCUCAUACUUAAUACUUAAUCAACCUAAGCUCAAAUUCUGGGACACCAACAAUCAAGUACUCUCGCAUCACCAUUAAACAUAGAGCUUGAGGAUGAAUACCGACUUUGAUAACUAUUUUUGCUCAUAUGCUUACCACCCAUCAUUUCAGAUUCAACCUGAACACCAAAGUGAGAUUUUUUUUUGAGGAUUUUUGAAUUUCGAAUUCAAUAAAAAAAAAAUAAAGUUUUGGAGUUUUUGGAAUUGGGGAAGAACAUUGUCAUCAAUUAACAGAAGAAAUUUUGGGGAUUUUGAACUCUAGAUGACAAAUUAUAAAUUAGGGUUCUAAUUUUAUAGAUUUGAGGAAGAAAGAGCUAUAGUAUAACAGUCAUUCUUCUGCAAAUUAUGGAAUCCAAUUUUCUGCAAAUCAAUCAAUUUGGUCAUUGGAAAUUUUGUCACUUUCGGCCAAAUUAAUCCUUGCUUGUGUGACAUCUGACAUGACAAGCCUUGUGAGAGGUUAACAGAACACGUCAUCACCGUUAAUAUCCCAACUUAACGGAGAGACUAAUUUGAUUGACAUUUGACAACUUCAGAAACUAAUGUGAUAUUUCGACAAAUUGAAAGACGAAUUUGGAUAUUUACUUGAAACAAAACACAAGGAUUUGUCAAAUUUUACCAACCUUUUGACCUUUAUACUUUCAACCAUUUGAACCGUACUGUCCAUUCCAAAACUACCAACCAAGAGAACCAUACAAUCAUUAUCAAGACUCAACCAUUUAAACAAUAUUCCGCUUGUGUAACUUUGAGUUUUGUGAUUUUGUGACCUCUUAAUCUCUUAUCUAUCUCCUUACUAAUAAUUCUCUGUCACCAAAAUAAUUUAUUAAUCACUAAAAAAAAUCAUACCAUUGUUCUUUGUGUGUGUUAACCUUCCCAUUCUUAGAGGAAAGGUUAAUCCAAAGUAAAGUCAAACAAAAAUUGUUUCAUUCAAAAAUAGAACAGUACCAUCUUUUUCAAGAUUACCAUGAAUGUGUUGGAAAAAAAAACACACACACAAGUGGUUUGUAUUGCGUUGAUUGCGCAUUUAUUUGAACCACAAUUACUCGCACAACUCAUUAGAGAAGAAAUGAAGAAUACACGGUUACAGGAAAAAGUUGUAAUCAAUGCACUCAUGUAAAAAUUCGACGAAGUUUUUAUCAACCACAUUCCUCUUACUCUUAGGCUACCCAUUACGAAGCAAGAACCUUAGAUUCAAAAGUCCUCAGGCCAGGAUACUAUUGACAGACUAUACAAGCAGAUAUCAAAACAAUUUUAUGAUUUUAUAAUAUAUAUCAAAGGUUCCUUCAAAAAAAUAUAUAUAUAUCAAAGGCGUAACAUCAUCCUUAAGUCAUGAGACAAGUUAUAAGACUUACACUAUAUCUCAACCGUUAAACAUAAUAUAUCUAAGGGAUCAUAACAUUCCACCAGUCAAAUUAAAAAAAAUCCUUAGGUAAGGCACCACAUGUGAUUUCGUCUUCUUUCUCUUCAAGAUCCCACGGUGCCCCUGGAGAGUUUGUUUCAUGUUCUUUUUUAUUGAGUUGCAAUGCAAUCAAUAGUCCAACCAAAUAAUGGGUUGAUUGUUGAGCUGAGUGGAAAAGUUCCUACAAAAUGAGUUGCAACAAGGAUCAACAAGGUGCUCACAAAAUUACACCACGAUUGUUUAACUAUGUUUUUGAAAAUUGAAGGUUUGACAAAUUUAUAGAAAUUACAGAAACCUAAAUCAUGAAAAGAAAGGGAAAACAAAAAAUAAAGAUCUCAUGUAAGAAAGUCUUGUGAUCUUCUCAAUUUAUUAAUCUUGUUUUCUGAAGUCUCUAAUACCACAUUACCAUACUUUUUGACCACACCACAAGUUAACGUUGGCAAAGAUGGAAGAAAAUUGGGACAUUGCGAUGGUGGUUGGUGCUGUAGGUUUACAUGCAUCAAUAACAAAAGUCCUAUAGCACACCACGUUAACAUACUUAUUGAUUAAAUCUAACAAAACAACAUCCAAAUAAUUACAAUCCACCGAGUUGAAACCCUUUUCAAAAUCAACUUUGAAUAUAAUUAAUUCCUUUUUCAACUUGCGGGUUUCAUCCACUAACUCAUUACCCAUUAAAAUACCAUUGGUAAUUUGGCAACCAUGAACAAAGGUUGAUUGCUCCUCAAAAAUUACAAUUUCUAUUACCGUUCGUAAUUGAUUAACGAAGACUUUAGCCAACACUUUAUACAAACAUUCAUAAGGGAUACAAGGGUGAUAGUCUUUGAGGGCUAUCCCCCAUAGGAACAAAGGAGAUAAAAAUGUUGGUGAUACCUUUCACCAACUUAUCAUUUCAAUGAAACUUUUAAAUGAAGCGCAUAAAAUUGAUUUCAAAAUCUUCCCUAAACUCUUUGAUAAAACAAAAAUUAACACCAUCGGAGCUGAAUUUUUGUAAUUAUCGCAAUGCCAAAUGACUUGUUUCGCCUCCUCAAGAUUGAAAGGUUUUAAAAGAUAAACUCCUUGCACCAAACUCAAAGAUUUGAAAGUAAAAUUUUCUACCACUUUAUGACCAUUACCAUUUAUAGAGUGAAUAGCAUUAGACCGACGUCUAGAAGAUGAAACUCCAUGAAAUAAUUUGUUAUUAGCAUCCCCCUCUCCAAAUCAGCAUAUUCUUGAUUUCUCUCAAUGCAUGCUAGAAUUUAUUCUUGCCAAAGAGUGUAAAUUUUGUAGAUAAAUAAUGAAGCUCCUCUUAUGCGCUAAAUUCAUCUUUUAAAUCCAGAGAUGAAAUGCGUUCUUUUUUUUUGACGGAGAUGAAAUGCGUUCUUAAACAUAAAGAAUUAUGGUUUUCAAAUUUCGAGUAUGAUGUUAAUGUCAGGAUUUUAGUCUGCCUUUAAUCAACUUAAAUUUUUCUUUUAACACAAAACCUCCGCACGUAUCAUAACUUAUAAUACUUACUUAAAUAUUUUUUUUUGAAAUCUUUUUAAAAAUAUUUACUCAUAGUCGAACUCGUUGAUCCGACUUAUAUUCAAUCAUAGUCGAGUCGGGUUGCUUUGGAUUUGACAUAAAAAAAAAAAUUAUCAUUUCAUUUUUAGACAUCAUUUGUUUUUUAAAAAAAAAUGAUAUUCGUCUAUUCAAAUUGAUGAAAUCAUAUUCAUUACAACUCCCAAUGUAACUUUUGAACUAUCAAUUUUAUUCACUUUAGCCAUGGAUUUUUAUUUAUUGUGUUAAUCCUCUAGUUCUAAGGAAAAAAGAUCCUUGAUAAUUAGAAUAAAAUUUGAUCAAGAAUUGUUUCACCAGGAAUCAAACUCAGGCUCUCCUUAACAAUUUAUCUUUUGAUUGAGCUUAUUAACCACUUGAAUCAAAUUGCUUGAGUUUUAUUAUAGAUGCCUUCUUCCACGUUUUAUUACUUUAAAAAAAAUCAUAUUCUAAAUUUUGCUUGAUUUUACUCAGAUUUAGUUCUACAUGCUAACAUAAUUUUAGUAUACUAAUAUUUUUGUUGUAUAUUUGAAUUUUUGCCUCGCCAAAUUAAAUAUAACAUGCAUAAUUUUAGGUGUAUAUUUUUGUUGUGUAUUUUUUUUAAGUGUGAACUAAAAAGUGUAUAUUUUUAAAAAUAUAUAAAAGUUUUAAUUGAUCUGGUCGGCCCGAAAAAACUCGUAUCCCUCAAAGGGCUGAGAUUAAUUAAACAUUUUUUAGCCCGUUUAUCAUCCGAACCUUUUUGGUCGAACUUGAAAAGUCUGAACUUGACAUGGAUUUUGGUCCGAAUAGUCGGUUAACAUAUUUUGACGGCGCUAGAAUUCAUAGAUCACAUCUCGCCAAUGAGGUGUCUGCACUUAAGUUAAGGCGGUUGUAUUUUUUACUGAAUUUUUUGUUUAUUCAUACCAAUUGUAUCAAAAUUCUUAUUAUAUUUUUUUACCUAAUUUCGUUUAUUCAUACCAAUUGUAUUGAAAAAAUUAUCAUUAAUGAAAUGAAUUAAGUUUGUUGCUUAAAAAAACAUUUUCUAUCAAAAAAAUAGGUAUAAAUUGGCUGAGUGAGAAUGGAUAAUUAAAAAAUAAGUUUAUUGAGAAAAAAAUAAUAUAUACUUGCCAAAAAUAAAAAAUUAGUGAGAAAAAAUAUCUAAAGGAAUAUUCCAAGCAUGGGCCAACGGCGCACAAAAAACAAUGUCGGUGGACUCCACACAUCAGACUCAAUCAGUAUAUGAUUCCACGUAGCCCUAGUUUUAACCCAAUCCAUAACCCUAGUUAACAAUUCCUCUCCUAUAUAAACACCCCUCUGCGUUCACUGUGAAAAUAUCUUCCUUCAUCUUUUCCCCUAAUUCCUUCUCUGUCCCCAAUUCGAUUCGAUGGGUUCUUCUGAUGUUGAGUACCGUUGCUUCGUCGGAGGUCUUGCAUGGGCCACCGAUAGCCAAGCUCUCGAGCAAGCUUUCUCUAAGUUUGGUGAAAUCACUGAUUCCAAGGUCCGUGCGGAUUCUGAUUCGGAUUCGGAUUUCGAUUCUGAUCUGUGAUCUGUUCUGUUACUCUGUUACUUGAUCUGUUUGUUACUACUGAUUCUGUUACUGUGAUUGUGAUUCUGUUACUAUAUCAUUUGAUUCGAUUCUUUUGUUACUCAUACCAAUAGGUACGUUCAUCUUCAUCUUUUAACAAAAGGAGAAGAUCGAUCGGUUACUAUUCGGUUUUUUUGAUUUAUGAAUCUGUUUUGAUUGUUGAAUGUUGAUUUGUCAUGGAUCUGAAUUUUUGUUGUUUUUGUUUUGUUUAGGUGAUUAACGAUCGUGAAACUGGACGAUCAAGAGGUUUUGGUUUUGUGACAUUCGCUGAGGAGAAAUCGAUGAGAGAUGCAAUUGAGGAGAUGAACGGUCAGGAUAUUGACGGCAGGAAUAUUACUGUGAAUGAAGCUCAGUCCCGUGGUAGUGGUGGAGGAGGUAGAGGUGGUGGCGGCGGUGGUUAUGGUGGCGGCGGUGGUUAUGGAGGAGGCGGUGGUGGAUAUGGAGGAGGCGGUGGUCGUCGUGAUGGUGGAUACAGCAGAAGCGGUGGUGGUGGAGGCUAUGGGGGAGGAGGCGAUCGUGGAUAUGGUGGUGGAGGUGGUGGUGGUUAUGGUGGAGGUAGGGACCGUGGAUAUGGAGGUGGAGGUGGUGACCGUGGUUAUGGUGGUGGAGGUGGCGGUGAUCGCUACUCUCGUGGUGGUGGUGCUGAUAGCGGUGGAAACUGGAGGGAUUAGAAAAUUAGGUCUUCAGUUUGGUGGUUUAUGAUUAUGAAUGUUGUCAUGUUGAAUUAGUUU
This 59785-nucleotide long non-coding RNA is filed under the name Medicago truncatula (barrel medic). RNAcentral describes it as "long non-coding RNA (MTRU_LNC001991)". The stretch from base 27554 to 27625 matches the Rfam family "tRNA". Lineage: Eukaryota; Viridiplantae; Streptophyta; Magnoliopsida; Fabales; Fabaceae. The record is from RNAcentral.